RNAcentral lists this long non-coding RNA (82419 nucleotides) under Sorghum bicolor (sorghum). RNAcentral describes it as "long non-coding RNA (SBIC_LNC004064)". Lineage: Eukaryota; Viridiplantae; Streptophyta; Magnoliopsida; Poales; Poaceae. The record is from RNAcentral.
CGUGUAGAUCCGGCAACGUAAAGAUCUACUCCGGCGUUGCACGGCCCUGCCCCGGUCAUCUGCCCACGACGCAGCAGGUGGAGGUCGCCGUGGAACCCGGCUUCUACGACGCCCAGCUCCAAGCUCGUCUCGCCCGCCGCCGGACGACCUCGCCAAGCCGCACGCGACGCGACGCCUGCGACGACCGAGCCACACUCGUGCGCAGCAGGUGGAGGACUAGGUCGCCGCGGAACCCAGCUUCUACGACGCCCAGCUCCAAGCUCGUCUCACCCGCCGCCGGACGACCUCGCCAAGCCGCACGCGACGCGACGCCUGCGACCCCUACACCGGCCUCUGGAACUGGUCCAUGUCCGUCCCUUGCUCCCCUCCUCUUAUCUGUCUCUCUAUUUCUUUUGUUCAGAAAGUCUAUGCUUUGUUACUUGGUUCUCAUGUGGGAUAGGAUGCAAGAGUUUUAAUUUGGUAGUGAUUUGUUACUGCUUGUUAAGUGCUACUAAUUUUGUCUGAAUCAUGCGCUUCUGAAUCCUAGAUAGAUAGUAUUGUUUCAGCACCUGCAUUUUGUAUUGAUCUGAACCUGCAUAAAUUUCUUAUUGAAGUGGACAACACGAUGGCUUGUGACAGUGGAUCCAACAAUGCAGAUAGCAGAGCAUAUCUCCAUGCAUCAAAAGCUUUGUUUUUAGCACUACUACUACUAUUAGGCAAUAGCAAUCACUACAUUAAACCUGCAAUUUCUUAUUGGUCUGAGCCUUUUUAGCUUGGUCAUCUCGAAGUUAUGUGAGCCUUUGAGGGAUACAAUUUUGUUGGAAAUGUACUGAAUUGAAAUUCACUUGCGGCAUGAAAAAAUUGCUAGCCUCAAGAUGUCUUUUAUAAAAUCACUGUGCUUUAAGGGGUACAAAUUCUGAAAGAUCAUCUUUCUUGUAGCAAAUUCACAAGUUUGAGAAAGUUCAAUUCAGUUUUGUUCAGCAACUUUUGAUUUUUGUGUAUGUAACUCCUUCCUCAAGCUGUCUGGAUCUUGAUUACUAUGCAGGGAUACAUACAUAUUGAAAAACUAGUUUCCUGUUUAGAAGGGCCAUGCACAAAUGAAUAUGUGUUUCUCUUUUUAUUUAUUGUAUCUGUGUAAAGAACAUUAACUUUGGAACAAUUUCCAAGCAUACAUGAAAAGGAAGGAGCCUGAUCUAAAGAAGCAAACGGAACCUCUUCUACAGAUGUCACAGCUGAAUUUGCGAGUCGUUGUCACCUCAAAUUUACAACUAAGUAUGUUUCUUCUCUCUGGUUUCUUUGUAAGCAUGUAAGAGUGAAACAUGGAAAGGGAGCCAGAGUUUUCUGCCAUAUGUUUUUGAAGAUACCCUACCGCUCCAGAGUUAGAUAUAAAUAACUUUUUAAUGUUUGUAAAUGCAGGAUGAAAAGACAAGACUCUAGAGUUAGAUGCAAAUAACUUUUUAAUGUUUCUAAAUGCAGGAUGAAAGACAAGGCUCUAAAGAUUAUUGGUAUUGUAGAAAACUGCCCUGAUGGUAUGUAUGGAAAGACAAGGCUCCAAUUUGCACAUGCAGAAACUGUUAUUCCUUUUUUACUUCCUUACUAGUCUCUUUGCACCUCUUUCGCUUAGUCCUAUUCUUGAAAUCCUUCCUCUGAAUUGUAUGCCUUGUUUGACACAUUUAUCUAUAUAAUAUAUGAUAUGUGUUGCAUAAAUUUCGCUCUUUUGAAUAUUUCUGCUGUGUCAUCUUUGAUAGUCAUGCUGCUAGCACGGACAUGGAUGUGUGUCCGGACAUGGAUGUGUGUCUUGCCAAUGAUGUUGGCUAUCUAUGAAAUUAGAGGAAUGGACAUGUCGUUUCUACCCUAAGAACUUCUACAGGAGCAAGGUGUGAUAAUUUCUUUUUCCUUUGUUAUUCUAUUAGUGUCAGAUGCUAUAAAACUAAAAUUCUGAGAUUGCCAGGCUACAUUUUUUGUAGGCCUAUGGGCAUCUUUGAAUUGUCUAUUCUUCUUCUUAUUUUUUUUGGAUCUUGAUGUUUCUUUGCAAAGUAUAAGUUGAAGUUGGUCAUUACGUGGGAAAAUGCAUCAACAACUCUAUUAUUAGAAAUUCGUUACUGAAUGUUCUUUGUUUAUUUUCUUGCUUGUUGCAACAGGGGUGUUGCUUGAUGCCCUGGCACCAUCAACAACUUCAAGGAGUUCGGAGAGGACGCCAGGUCUAAGACUGCAAGGUCAUCAUCAUCGAUUGGUGAGGAGAGUGACCAAAAAUAUUUCUUUAAUAUAACCUACAAUUCAAGGCAGAUGAGAAUCAGUUAAAUGUUACUCUCUUAGUGCUCUUUCUCAUUGCUCUAAUUGUUGUGGAAACAGAAAACACAUACAAUAGUUGCUUCCACUACUAUGGUAUUAUUAUAUGUAUUGUACAUAAUGUACAUUACUAAUGGAAGGUAAGAAAAGUUUGGAAACAAAGAGAGAAGAAAAGAGGGGACAAAAAGACUCUAGGAGGGCCUAGCAGAUUCAGCUAGGGGUUUGACCCAAUAGAGAAUUAGAUAUCUGGAAGUUGAAUUAGAUAUUGUGAAGCAUAUCAAAGAAAGAAAUCACAGUCCACCCUCAAUGAAAAUACCAAAUUGUCAAUUGUUGCUGCCAUCCCCAUCAACAAGGGGCUCAACUUCAGCAAUAUCAUAAAACCUAUUCAAUUCUGCGUGUCAUAGGAAAAUCUCAAAUAAAAGUUAUAUCAUCCAUUAUUUGGCGAACUAAACCAAAUUGAAGACCUUAGAGUAGGUAGGCAUGAAAAUUCUUUGUACAGUUGCACUCUUUCUUGCUACCUAAUUCCAGCACUAAAUCUCAUUGCAUUUUUUCUUUUGUGUGCAAGAAGGAAAAAUCAUAGCGUGCGAGGACAACGACAUACCAGGUUUGAAUAUUAGAAUUGUGCUUUCUUUAGGCUCAAGUGUUUACUAUCAGCAUUCGGUAUUUUAUUUAAGAUCAUUUUAUCUGAUAGUUGAAUGUAAUUCAUAUUACAUAAUGGGUUGAAUGUAACUGAAUAAGAAAUUGUACAACCUGUUUAUUUGAGUAAGGGCAAACCAUGCAUGUUGCAGAAUCCCCUCCCUCUCCGUGAUUAUACAGUUAUGGCGUCAUUCAACUAUUGCAUUAGUCGAAACGGACACAAAAGACAUCUCUGACCGAAACUGAACAAAUAUUUGCAGUGCAUAUGAAUUGAAGGAGAUAGACACAAAAGUACAUGCAUGAUACAGGGCAUGGAGCUGAGCUAGAGUGCCAGCUUCUGGUGGUGAUUCAGAGGCCGCAAAGUCCACAUCCUAUAGUGCUCAGCUUGGUUAGUAGGGUUCUUGUAAGGAUUGAUCUCUGACACUGGUGUCCGACCGGUGCUAUAAUUCCUCAAUAAAGGACCGGCUCCUCAAGCGUUGCACCCCGUGUCCCGGCUGCCGUCGCCGCGCUCCGUAGUUCGCCUGCCGCCGUCAGUCAUUGACCCAGGCACGCAACCAAUCGCACAGCUUGAGGCAGCAACGAUGGAGGCAAAGCGCGGGACGACGCCCAGCCUGGGCCCGUUUAGGUGCCGCACUCCACGCCUUUGCGCCAAGAAUCACGCCAACUCCGACGUCUACUGCAGCCAGCGGAGGUACGUCCUCAGGGUGUUUGAUGAAAUGGCCGUUCGAAAUGCCGUGAGUUCAAAAUCCUUGCCUGUCUCCGUCUCCUCCUCCAUUUACUUGAAUAGGUGGCCAACCAGCUAGCUAUCACGGCACGGCAGUGCGGCAGCGGUCAGUCUAACUGCGUUGUGUCAUGGUGACACGAACCCACCCGCUCUUCCCUGGACGGCGCGAGUCACCAGCGAUGGCAUCGGCAGCUGGCGUGGCAGACCACUUCCUCGUAUCCUUCUCUUUCAUCCUUCAACGACCCAAUGCUGAGGAGGACGGCAAGAAGGUCUAGGCCUUCCUCAUGGAAAUGGAGAGCGCCAUCAGGAACCAUCUGCUCUGGGCCAACGCCACCAACUAGGAGAUCGAACACACACUCAAGGUGAAGCCCUGCCCCACUGCUCCUUGUUUUUCAGUAAAAAUGAGUUGCUAUUGUUUCAAGUGCAUAAUCAAUUUUUUACCUGAAUAUCCCUAUGCGAGUAGCUACCUGUGAUCCUAUUUUCUUUCACACCUUUUAAUUUAAUGGACGGUCACAAUCUACACUUCUUUUCUUUGUGCCUUUUGGAUGGUGUAAGUAUUAGUUUAUGUUUUUUGAAGUGUAUAUUAAUUCACUGUUUGACAAUAAUGUUUCUGGGGAAGUAGCACUCAGAAGUGUUCAAAUAAAGAUUCGAUUUUUGUUCACUUUAGACUUCCACAUUGUAUUUGUGUGCAUAGAAUGAUAGAACUGGACAAACUGUGUUAAAUCAUUUCUCUGCUCGACAAUGUUGCUCUGGUUGCAGAAGUCAAGCUCGUGACUGAUAAAGAGUAAGUGAACCAUUCUUCUGUGCUUCAGAACAUUAUGCUAUUCGACUGCUGCCUGAUUAAUCUCUCAAUUAGGCACCAUAAUAUCCAAACUAUAGUAACAUAAAAAUAUUCUCUUACAGUUGUAUUUGCUGUUCCGUGAAAUCAUCCAAAUAUGCUGAAUAAACGGAAACCCAUGAUACGCUAUGGAAUCAUGGUAGCGACUGUUUUAAUUGUAUCAAAUGUUGUAUGGUUUACUGCUUGGUACUGCAUUUCAACCAUGCCUUUUGUGACUAGACUAGAUAAAAAAAUGCUCUUCCUUAACCUUUCAUUGAUAACAGGCAAGACAAUCAGCUGUGGAUCGCAACAACCACCUCAACUGGCUAUUAGAUUUGUUUAAUGCCAUUUCUAUUCUUUCUCUGGUACUUAUCGAGAUCAUGCUCAGGGUGUCUGCCUCCACAGAACAACGCCACCUCAGAUUGAGUUUGAUCCUCAGGAGUGGGGAAAGAAAUCACUUCCUUUUUUCUCUGAAUACCAGUAGGGCGUCACACAUGCCCUCCUGUUUCCAAAAAAAAAAAUCUGAAACUUCCUUGGUUCAAUCUUUCUUGCAUGGGUUCUAGAGAGGUUCUUUCUUUUGUGCUGUGGUCGUUGCUUAAUUGAUUUCCAUUCUACGCAGGUUAGCUGGAACAUGACUCGAGCAAAAUGUGUUGCAGAUUAAUUGCUAUUUUGUGGAUUUCAGUGUGCUGAAUCUGUUUAGGCAUUUGAUAUUUCUUUCUUUAGUUUUUUGCACGUGGAUCCCCAUAUCCUAAUUUAGGCAUUUGAUAUUUCUUCUGUUUGAUGGAUUUUCCAUGCCCUACUUGCUUGUAGCAGGCAACUGCUGAUGAUUGGUUUCAUUAUGAGUCGAGGGGCAGCAGUGGAGUCAGCAAAGGGGGUGGCUAAUGAUGCAGAGCAUAGGCAAGCAACUCACCUUCAACAUGCCAUAGCCUAUGCCAAAGAGAUUGUAACAAGCGUUAAGUGGUGACCGUGAUUUGUAAAGAUUGACAUCUGAGGAUUACUGUCAAGUGUCCAUAUAUCAUAUAGGUUGUAAAGUAUCUGUGCAGCCUUUCCAGAUUUUUUAUAUUUCGCAAACAGCAUAAACUCACUAUGGAGUUCAAAAAAGAUACAAUAUAUUUAACUACAGCCACAUUUUAUACAUUUAUCCUAUUUAUAUUUCUUCAUGUAGUAAUUUUUAAGGAUUCAUCCUACCAUGAUUUAAUGCAAUCUAAUUAUCUACGGGAAUACUCCAUCUCUUUACCUCCUUUUAAAUGCCUCCAUUUCUCGAAUAUCAUUAUGAUUGAUUAUUAAUUAGAAGCUGAUGUAACAACGGAAAAUGCAUUUUGUUGUAUAUAAACCUUCAUCAACGCCAAACGCAGUCCUUUUCUCUUAGAGUGAUAUAUACAAAUGGUGUUCCCACUUCCUGCUUUCAAAAAUAAAAAAUGUGUUAAAAAUUUAUUAGUCUUCCAACUAACAAUGCUUCUUUUAUAUUUUGCAUCACUAAAUAAGUAAACAUACAUUAAUAUGAAUGUAGUCCUUUCUACUCCGCGUUGACAUAACCGGGUAGCCUACCGCGCUGAGUUUCUAGUAAGAUGUAAAGUUGCGCCUCAAGCCCAUGACAAUAGUGGGUCAGGCCCACGGUCCAGGGGCGUGUUUGCGCACCUGGCUCAGCUCACCCAAGCUUUGCCAAGCUAGCCCCUACUGAUGCAACUACUCUUGUUUGCGCACCAUGUGCCAACUGAGCCUGGCUCGAGUGAGAUGGUGUUUGUUUUGCUUGUACCAGUGGAUAUGCCUACCGCGUGACCAGCAAAUGGUAGCCUUACCACCCACCAUUCUCUUCUCUAUCCUCAUAGUCAUUUCAUCGAACACUCAUGGGGUCUGCCUAAUGCGACGGUGGCGGAGGUCCAUGGCAGCCAUGACACACUCGGCUCUGUCAACACGGCCACCGCUCCAGCCAAGUCGUCAUGCUGGCGAGUUCCAUCACGUCAUGCACCGCUUCCACUGGUCUCGUGUCCCAAUGGUCGUGCAGAACGGGCUUGUGUUCAAAGCCGACGAGUCCCUGCCCGGUGCCCCGUGCCCUGCGGCGGCGCGCACCGGCGGCGACGUGCGCCACGCGUGCCUGCGCGAGCAGCGGCGGUGCGCCCCGACGGCCACGCGCGCCUGGCGGUGGCGUCCUCUCGGUGCCCGCGCGAGCAGAGGCGGCGCGCCCCGGUCGGCCACGCGCGCUAGGCGGCUGCGCCCUCCCGGUGCCCACCCGCCUUGCGGUGGCGCGCCCUGACGGCCAGCCACCCCAUCGGCGGGAUCCGCGGGAGGACGAGGAGGACGCCGACGAGGCGGAGGAGGCGGUGGACGAGGACGACGAUGAGCGCGGCGCCGCAGGGGUCGCUGUCUGCCGCGCCUCAUCUGCAGACUCGUGCUCCGGGACGGGCACCGUCGGUGCUGCAGGCACGUGGGACGCGGUCCGCCAGUGCGUGCGGAACGGGGACAUGGAGCGCGCCUUCCGGCGCACGGAGCGGGUCCGGACGCGGCCACGCUCGUCCGCCUCCACCUCCUCCCGCACCGCGUCACCGCGGUGCGCGUCCGCGUCCGCGGAGGCGGCGUCGUGGGGGAAGUCGAGAAGCACGGCGGGGUCCGGGUGGGGCUGGAGCAGCGCAGCGGCGAGGUGGACGGGGCGGAUCUGGCCGUUGUGGACGGGGCGCCAGGCGUUCCUAACGGGACUCCAGUGCCACCCGCACCUGGGACUCCAGGGCGUCGACGGCCGAGCAGUCGGCGGCGCCGACUAUCUCGACGGCGAGGGUGGGGUCGGUGGUGGUCAUGUCGACGAGGAUGCCUGCUGGGGCCAAGCCAGAGAGGGUGGUGGAGCAGACGUCGGAGGGCAAGCCAACCAUGAGAAAGAUGACAUCGGCAGCAGCGGCGGCCGUGCGCGAGGCGGUGAGGGAGAGGCAUCGGUGGUUGAGAGGAUGAGAGUGGAAGGUGACUCGAAUUGCUCUCUCAGAGCCGUAAGGAGCCGCAUGUAGCCGAGCCCAAAAGAAACGAACUCAGCCGGUGUUUCCCCAGAGCCAGGCUUAGGCGUCAUUUUUGCAUCUGGCGAGCCGGGCUGAAAAUUGAGCCAGGUGCACAAACACAACGACCUGGCCCCCAUGAGCCCAAUUCCCCAACGGGCCACCCCCGCAAACGCCCCAAUGCCGCCUCUUCUUCCCAUAUAAACGUUGAGACUAGCCGAAGAAUGCGAAUCUGCGCAAAGCAAAAACCAAGAAACCAGAGAGGCGAGACGACCAAGAAACGAGAGAGGCGAGACGAGAGACCAAGAAGCUCUUCUCCUCCGCGCUCGCCGAUGGGAGCGGUGAGCAGUUCGCUGCUCCGGCGCGGAGCAGGGGCGGCGGUCCGAGCUCCGCCGAUCUCUCUCGCUUCACGGCCAGAGGCCGCAGCCCCGCCGGCGCCAGUCCUCUCCGGGGCCGCGCAUCUGGUCUUUGAGGCCUCGCUCGCCUGUCCGUGGAACUGGGAUCCCAAAGCUCCCGGCGCCCUCUCCGACGGGAACUUCGUUCUGAACCUGGAUGGGGCGGCGGUGAUGCGUAGGCGGCUCCAGUUCGGCCUCUUCGUCGCCAUGAACGAGCUCGCGGACGGGGAGGGGGCCGCGGUGCGGAGGCUACAGAUCUGCACGAGGGCAGAGAUAGCGGACUGGAUCCCCUUUGUAAGACAGGUGGGCAUACUCCGUGAACCCCAAGCUUCUGAUGACGGAGAUUGUCUCUUUUGUCUCGAACCUCUCACGAAGGAUCGACUGCGCAGUCUACCAUGUGGCCACACGUUUCAUACGUCGUGCCUAGAGUACCAUUUCAUCAAGAACAGAGUUAUGGAGAACAGAGGUUUUCGGGCUGCAUGUCCGGUUUGCCGCGAUGCGGUAAUUCAGUCAGAUUUCUAGGACUGUUAUUGGGCUAUAUGUCCUUUUCUUUAGGUGUUCAAACUCUUUUUUUUCUGGAGUACUAAGAUUUUUUUACCUUAGCAUUAAUAUCUGUGAAAAAGUACUUAUUGGAAGAGAAAGAGAAGUAUGAAUGGCAAGUAUUUUGUGAUAAAAUUUAAAUAUUGUUACGUUAAGUAUUUCGGGGCAGAGAGAAUAGAUAAUUCUAACUGAUUAUUAAUAAUCUAAUAAUAGAAUCAAUGAUUUUUCAGAUGGUACCGUUAUAAUUUUUGAAGUUCGGAGAAACAUCAUUACUAUUCACUUAUUUUGAAAUGUGCUAUUACAAUUCUUUAUUUCUCACAAGAAUGUCACAAGAUAUGUAUACAAACAAGAAUGUCAUAAUUCUUUAUUUAGCAAGAGGAACCAAACAGGGCCUUAAUACAAAGAUACACAGCUCUCCUGCGUGUUUGAGAAAAAAAAAGAUUUACUACAAAAUGCAUCCCAAGAACUGUUGUCAAAUGGUUUGAUAUUUUUUUUUGCAUGAUGGUUCUUGACAAAGGCGUUCCCUUUUUUAUGAUUAAGAUACGAGAAACAUGCCUUUCUAGCAACAAAAGCUCCAACAUUCAGUGGAAUAUAACUUUAGUGAAUACAUUGAUCAUGGAAAUGCUAACACAUUCCAUUCCAAGGAAAUAAGGAAUAGACAAAAAGCAUUAAUUCUUUUGAAAGCCAAGCUAUAAUCAAACUCGCUAAUACUAUUUUCAUUGUAAAUCAGAAUUAAUUUUGCAGUUAUAUUCUAUCUGCUAACAUUCUAGCACUUUGUUCUUGAACUUCCAUUUUUGGUUUCCCCUUUGCCAAUCAUAUCUUGUUUGAGUGUCAUCACGAUGACAAAACCAGUCAGACUUCCGAAACAAUACUAACAUCAAUUUGCUAAAAAUGCAGGCCCCAUUUUCAGUAAGACACUCUUCUCGCGGAAUUUUCCGCACCAGGACACUAAAUCUUCGAUCUAUCAGUGUGGUUGGCUAUGAUAUGGAUUAUACAUUAAUUCAGUACAAUGUGAUGGUACUUCAUGGCCCAUUUUCUUGAUUUGCCUAUAAACUUUUCUGAUGCCAAGAGUUACACUCUUAGAAAACUCUGUAAAUCUGUUGAGCUGAUUUGACUGGUAACAACAAAGGAUGGCGUAUGAGUGAUUUAAAUUUCCAAGUGAAUUAAAGUUGUUUUUCCUUUAAUUUUUGCUUCAUAAAGUGUCAUGGGUUAGAUGCUGUGAGUUUUCAAUGUGUUUGUAAUGUAGAUAAUUUUAGAUAUAAAUAUUUCCUCCAAUCCCUAUAUUCCCAUUUGUACACUGACUUAAUUUCUAUGUAAAUAUAUGCGGUGUCAAAUUCAAAUAUGAAGGGUUAUAUAUUGCGAAAAGUAUUUUUUUUUCAUGAUGAAUCUACUAACAUCAGUCUUAUGUUGUCAAUGUAUAUGAAUUUUAGCUAUUGAUGGUCAAAGGUUAAAAUAAUAGUUUGACAUAGGAUAAAACCUAGGGCUUAUAUUUGGGUUGGAGCUAGUAUAAUUUUGCUCAAUGCAAAUAUUAUGGUAAUGACAUAACAUUUCUGCAGGCCUGGGAAGGACGUGCAUAUGACUAUGGGAUGGACAACCUCAAGAGCAUGGGUUUCCCAGUAGAUGACCUUAAAUUUGACCCUGACCUGGUAGUGCCUGCUGUGCACUUCUUUCAUAAUACCUUGAAGCACAUACAUCACCUCUAAUGAUACAAUUGCUGUGCCACAGGUCAUAAGAGGUCUUAUUAUUGAUAAAGAGAAGGGAAACUUGGUUAAAGCUGAUCGAUUUGGCUACGUUAAGAGGGCCAUGCAUGGUACUCAGAUGCUUUCCACUCGUGCUGUGAGGUAUAGGUAACACAUUUUGUCAAAGUUUCUGGGCUUCAGAGAUGAGAACUCUAAUUCAUGUCUUUGAAAUUUGAAUAGUGAAAUAUAUGGAAGAGAAUUGGUGGACCUGCGGAAAGAAAGUCGAUGGGAGUUUCUUAACACCCUUUUCUCUGUUUCAGAAGCUGUCAUGUUCAUGCAGGUUUCCUUACCUCUUCCUUUUAUAUGAUAUAGUCAUUCCAGUGUUUAUGUUAUGUGAUGUGAUGUGAUGUCACUUGACAUCUCAACUAUUUAAGUCCAUCUCCAUCUUUCUCAUUAGCGUACCCAGGGAGCUAAUGGUUUCUCUGUUGAUUUCCAAGUGACUGAGUUAUAUUUUCCAGAAGCUAAGUAUUUGUCUAGACUAGCUAAAGCAUAAAGACUUGGCAAGAGUUGCAGAAAUGGUACAAGUUUAGAUGAGAUACUAUGCUAAGCAAGCCAGCUGAAAUAUUUUUGCUAGUAGUAUGGUGUUCUCUGCUCUUUCAUCCUUGAAUAACCACACCUUUGCCUUCUAAGGACUUGGAGUUUGGCCAUAUUUUACCUCACUGAUUUGGAAAUUAAUUUAAUAUAUAGAUGUAAGUGUAGACAUGUCUCUUGAUGAUCUAACAACCAGAUUAUGAUCCUUCUGUUUGUUAGUAGUGGGUUUGUAGUAGCAUCAAACAGAAGUUGGUAAUACAUUGGCAUUUGAUUUGUCCUUGGCAGAAUAAAUCACAAUUAGGAGCCCAUCAAAGAAACAUGAUGUGUGCUCAGAAAUCUGAAUGUAUUUAUUCCAUAUCAAUACACAUCAACACAAUCAAUCCUGUUUUGAUUCAUUCAGGGAGUAGUUGUAGUGUUUUUCAAAUGAUAUAUAGACAUUCUGAAUUUGCAUGUGAUCUCUCACACUAAACAUUUCUCAAGUUUGAACUGAACCUGGAUAUUGCAAUUUUCUUCAGAUGGUCGACAAGUUAGAUCAGGGAUUGGUGCCAGCUGAACUUGGGCCAUUGGAUUACAAAGGACUGUACAAUGUAAUGAGCACUGCUGUUUCCUUUUCAUCUCGUUGAAGGGAUUACAUCAGCGUAGAGACCUGCUAUUACUAUAUUAUAUUAAAAAUAAAGUAAAAGAAUUAGUCUAUACAGAAACAGAAAGAAAAAAAAAGGUCCGCCCACCAAGCAAUGUCUCUUCUGAUUUGUGGAACUUUUGUCCUUGUCCACUUUUGCUAUGUAAUAAACGAAGUUUGGUGUACCUUUUUUUUCCAGGCUGUUUCCAAAGCACUUUUUCGAGCACAUGUAGAAGGCCAACUUAAGGUACUCUUCCCUUAAUCAUAAUAUGAUUAUGAUAUAUGACUAUUAUUUUUUUUUCUGAAAACUUCUUUAGCUGGUUGAAAUGUAGAGAGAAAUAAUGGCUGAGCCUGAGCGGUUUGUAGAGCCUGAUCCAGAACUUCCUUUAGCUCUUCUUGAUCAAAAGGAGGUUAGCGCAGUUCCACCUUAUGGUGCCAUAUGAUCAAUUCAAAGUAAUAGAACCAUUGUACUGAUAUGCUGCCUUUUCAAUCUAUCAGGCUGGAAAAAAGUUUCUUCUCAUUACUAAUUCAGAUUUCCAUUAUACAAACAAAAUGAUGAAUCAUGCAUUCAAUCGCUUUCUUCCUAAUGAUGUGGGAUGGAGAGAUCUUUUUGAAAUGGUAAGUUUUAUCUCUCUCCCUUAUACCAGCUUUGUAGAAGUGACUGUUUAACAGUCAUUGCUUACAACAUACUGGAAACUUUAUUAAUAUCCAUUGAUUCUUUCUUACUAUAGGUUAUAGUCUCCGCAAGGAAGCCAGAGUUUUUCCAGCUUUCACAUCCAUUAUAUGAGGUUGUAACAGAUGAUGGACUGAUGCGCCCCUGUUUUAAAGUAAAGUCAGGUCGAAUUCUUCACGCCGUUACUGUUGUGAACCAGUAACUCAUAGAACCUCCAAUAACUCUUUUUCUGUCACUUUGAAGGGACAUGUUUCGUUUCAAACUGUGAAUAUGUAUUAUGCUCUAGCAAAAAAAAAAAAAAAAACUCAAUGAAUGGAAACCAAAAGAAGAACUUAAGGAGGGGGGGGGGGGGCAUUCUUUCAUGGUAGCAUCCCUAUCUAAGAUGAUUUUUAUAGUUGCGACAUUAUAUUGUUUGGGAACAAAUCCAUUUUUGGCCCCCUCAACUCUUAAGUUUGUCUAUUUUUAACCCCAAACUACAAAACUAGUAAAUUUGGCACCUCAACUUUGAAUGUUGUUCAGUUUUUACCCCUCGGUCUGGUUUUGGUGGUUUUCAAAUAGCUUGGGCCCGCCUGUCAUAAGCUCCAUCUCUCCUUCCCCACCUCCCUCUCUCCCAACGCCACUUCCCAUAGCUAUAUCCAGAGUGCUCGCUUUUGCCCCGCUCCACUCACUUCUGCUGUGUGCGGACCACCCCGCCGCCUCGUACCUGUGUGCUACUGCUGCCGCAGACUGUCCCUUGCUCAUCACCAGAGAGAUGGAGAGACAGAGGAGGUGUGCCAUGGCCGAACUCGAUGCAGCCCCUGGGUGGACAAGAGAGAGAAAGGGCACCCCCAUGCCAUGGAGCACCAUUGGCCAUGGGGACAGCUGUGAGGGCAAUCUGCUGUGCGCUGGAUGAGGGAAGGAGGAGGCUGCAAUGGAGGACUGGUGGAGAAGAUAAAGAGGUGGACGGCUCUGAGAGCAUGUCUCCUUUGGUACAGUUGGACGUGGUGCUGUGGACGGUAGAGUGGGAGAGAGGCGGCAGUGGCAGAUAGAUAGAGGAGGGAAGGAGAUGGGGACAGUGGUGGUGAGAAAAGGAGGGGGAGAGAGAGAGAAAGAUGGAUGGAGUGUCAUGUGGGCCCAUGCUGGGCCCGAGUUACUGGAAAACCACCAAAACUAGGCUGAGGUGCCAAAAUUGAACGGUAUUGGUAGUUGAGGUGCCAAGAUUACCUGGUUUUGCAGGUGGGGUCAAAAUUAGACAAACUCGAGUUGAGGGGCGAAAAAGUAGACUUGUUCCUUUUUUUUUAGCAAAAGUUGUAACAUCAUUGCUUAUCGACAGCAGAACCACAUGUUGGUCUUUGUUGUGCAGAAGUUUGGAUGUUCUGAUGUGCAGGCACCAUGUUGUUUUCCCAUUUUGGUGCUUGGAUCUUGUCUUUCAUUAGUGCAGUAUGAUUCCUUUUUCAUUUUUAUUCUGAAAUGGAGAAGGGAGAGUUUGGAUUGGGGAAUAAAACAAGAGCUACUCCAACUCUUAUGCGUAAUUUCUUAUGUCACUAGACUAGAUCCUGCAACCUUAGUUUCUUUCUUCGAUAUGCUCUUCUCUAUUAUCCACUGCCAGUUUUGUGACUGACUUGCUACCCCUUUUAUGAAAUCGGUAUUUAGGUGGCUUAUAUUCUGGUGGUAGUGCUCAGAUGGUUGAGAAAUCACUAGACAUUCAUGGGGAUGAGAUAUUAUAUGUUGGGGACCAUAUUUACACAGAUGUAAGCCAGUCAAAAGUUCAUUUACGAUGGAGGACAGCAUUAAUCUGCAGAGAGCUAGAAGAUGAGGUUAGUUUGCUUACCUUUUCUGAGUAAUUAAAAAAAUAAUGACAAUGUGUAGAGCAUUAGGCAUUACAGAUUUACAGUAGCAUUUUAAUUUCUGGUUAGCAGGAGGAAGCUUUCUCUUGAACAUUUACUGAUUCUGUCUGCGGUAUUUUCCAUCUCACAUUGUAUUUCCUAUUUCUUAAAGGAAUUUUUGAACAAAAACUUCUCUGAUUCAUUUCAUUUGACGGUAUCAGGACUCUUAGAUUUGCCUUGCCUUGUAAUUCAUAUGGGUGACUUCUUGGAUCAGUUUUAGUUUAGUUGGUGCCUAUACGCUCUUAUUCCUUGCUGCUUGGGAGCCGUGGAAGCAUCGUAACAACUGCAUUUUUAACAAUGCCACUCCUAUGAUAUGGUGGUCAGGACGGUGAUUGAAGUAACUGUCCGGUGUGCUGCUGGGACCUCCCUGGUUCUAACUGUGUGCUGUGGCCAUCUUUCUGUUGUCCGUGGUGCGUUUAUUUAACAUUCCGCCAUUGUGGACUUGUGGUGGCCUUUGAGGUUAGGGCAUCAUCUUUGAGUGUUUUUUCUUUAUACCUUUUUUUUUCCUAUUUAGGGGGUGUUUAGUUCCCCUUCUAUUCCAAAAAAAUUUGGGUUUUGCUUCAUUAUUUUGCAUAAUGGAACUAAAUGCAAAUUUUUUGGCAAAAAGGUGGUUAUUCUCCAUUUUGGAUUUUGGCCUCAAGAGGCCAAAAAAAGCCAAAAGAGCCCCAAGAGGCUCUCAUGAGGGCAAUAAAUUCUGCAUUUUGGAUGGAACUAAACAUAACCCUGAAAAUUUUGGCAUUUUGCAUUCCAUCAUUCCAAAGUAGUUGGCAUUUUGCGUUUUGCAUUUUAUGGGGAACUAAACACCCCCUUAAUGAAAUGGCAAAGACCAGGAACGACAGAGCACAUUGUUGCCAUAGACCUGAGGCGUUUCAGGAAGGUUCAUUCAAAUUGUUUUUCUUCCACAUGGUAACAGAUACCAUUACAUGGGGAAACCAAACAAUCAAUGGGAUCGCCCAUUCCAUCGCUAAUUACAGUGUGAUCUGUUAGACUGUUACCAUUUACAUCUACGUUAUCACUGCAUCAACCAAACAGCACCUUAAUUCCAAUAUGCUGGUGAUACACUUAUACUGACCAUUAUCAAGUAUAUGCAUCUGUUGAUUCUGAAUUAAUGUGGAAGCAAACCUAGAUAGGCCACAAUUUGUUAUGCUGUCAGUGCUAUGUAGCCAAUCGAGUUGUAGUCUCUUGUUCACCAAUUUCCUCUUCUGUGUUUGCAGUUUGAUGCACUGGUCAAAAGCCAUGAUCAGAAAGAAAAGCUUGUUACACUUAUACAACAAAAAGAAAAUGUGGGGGAUCUUUUUAACCAGCUUCGCCUGGCUCUGCAGAGGCGCUCUAAUUCACGUCCUGCACAGGUACUAGAGUGAAGCCUGAUGCUUUAGUGAGCUUCAGCAUGCUGAAUGUCCUUUUCAGAUGUUUAAAACUUUAACAUUUGUAUUACUUUCAGCAGUGCACUGCUGCCAUGUAUGAAUUGUUAUACAUCUUAACCAAAAAUUAAGAUAAUCUGGUGAUUUUGGCUUAGUUUUUAGGACUCAGGGAUUUUGUAAAGUUCUCAAGAUGCUUGCACUGAUAUACAUUAUUUUUCAGACGCUUGCUGCAACUUGUAUGGAUGAACAGGAGCUUACGGAAAGUAUGCAAAAGUUGCUCAUUGUUAUGCAAAGAUUAGAUGAAAAGAUUGGGCCAAUGCUAGAAGCAGAUGGAGAACUUUUCAAUAAAAGGUACCUUAUUCUUGUAGCGAGUUUUGGAAAUCCUUCAAAUCUGGGUGUUCAGAUCUAUUAUCCCAUAUAUUUCUUACAUAAAUAACUGCUUUCAAACGUCAUUGCACUUAUUUCUGCUUCUGAUUUCCAAUUUGUAUGAUUUUAAUAUCCAUGUAUGUAAUCAAUUUAUCAGUCUUGUUCAUAAAUUUCUUGGUAUUUAUCUCUUUAAUUUUAGAAAAGUAAGCUAAGCAAGUAUGUUUUUCUUUUUCCUCUUAAGAUGGGGCUGGUUGUCAUGUGCUGGCCUAUGGGAUAAGAGUCAUCUGACCAGGCAAAUUGAAAAGUGAGUGGCUAUAAUUUUUUUGACAGUGAGGAAAAAUGUUGUAUGAACUCCAAACUGAAUGCAACUAAUUUUGCAUUUUCUGUAGAUAUGCUGAUAUAUACACAUCAAGGGUUUCAAAUUUUCUACACUAUACUCCAUUCAUGUAUUUCCAAUCUCAAGAACAGGUAAAUACACCGCUCCAUACUCGCUGCUGCACUUUACCUUUGGCUUUUUGCUAUUGUCGUUGUUAUGAUGCUUAGGCCUUGUUUAGUUUGAGAAAAAUUUUGGAUUUCGCUACUGUAGCACUUUCGUUUGUUUGUGGUAAAUAUUAUCCAAUCAUAGACUAACUAGGAUCAAAAGAUUCGUCUCGCGAUUUACAGGUAAACUGUGUAAUUAGUUUUUAUUUUCGUCUAUAUUUAAUGCUUCAUGCAUGUGCCGCAAGAUUCGAUGUGACGGGGAAUCUUGAAAAAUUUUGGAAACUAAACAAGACCUUAGUUCAUAUGGGGGUAAUGGCGGUAGGAUAAUGGCGCCAAGGCUUUGUGGCCUGGCUGCCGAAGCAAGGGGAUGAGAGAUUAGACUGAUAGCAGGGAGAUGAGAUUAGAGAUGGCAUGGGGGUGAGUUGAGAGAUAACUUCAUUCUUCAUUGCUUGAUUCAUUCCAUUGAUGCUGGUUACAAUAUAUAGGAGCUGGGCUCCUUGCUAGGCGCACAGACUCUGGCCCUUUCACACUUGAGGCCCCUUCAGCUGCUCCUUAAUUGCUAUUAAUAGCCUUGAUGACAUUGGCCCUUUCAGCCACCAGCCUCCUCGGGCUCCUGCACGCCUGCUGACCAUUGCAUGUCCCCAUGUAGCUGCUGACCAUGGGAGUCCCCAGGCGGCUGCCUGCUGCCUGCCCCCCAUGACAGUGGUGUUUAUUGGUUUAGAUUCAAGAAUACCAAUCUUCUUUACAAUGACUGAAGACUAAUUAGAGUAAUAGAAGAUGCUGCUUGCAGCUAGGCAGCUACCUUAGAGCUUGUGAAAAGAAUACAAGACAUGCUAUGCUGGUAGGACAAAUAUUGUGGCCAUAUUUUUCCAUUAGGGUGGUGACUUUACAGUUAUGAAUCAUCCAAGUAGAAGAGAACAAGAAGAGUAAAGGAAAAAGUCUAUAUAACCCCCCAAACUAUCUAGGGUGGACUACUUUAUUUCCUGAACUAUAAAACCAGAUAUUCUACCCCAUGAACUUUUCAAAACCGGUCAAAUAACCCCCUUGAGCGGUUUCGGAGGACGGUUUUGUCUUUUUCUUUUUUAUUUAUUUCCGUUGAAUCUUUAAAAAAUCAUAAUAAAUCAUAGAAAAAACAUAAAAUGAAAAAACUAAUCUUGUUGGACUCCACAUGUGUAGAUCUACACAGUGAACAUAUAAUAUGAUAUGACUUAGUACAAAGUUUUUGCUAUAACUUUAAAUCUAUAUUUUUCUGUAAUUAAUUAGAAUAAUUCAUAUAUAUUGUUUCUAUGGUCCAAUUAUGGUGAAUUUUUUUGAUGAGCUAAUUAUUGUAUGGUUAAAGUAUAGUAAAAAAUUUGUACCCAUUGGAUCAAGUAUAACUUAGUUAUAGAUUUAUUUAGCUUUAUUCUUGUUAAAUCUAUGCUUUAUUUAUAACUAAGUUAUAUGUGAUCUAAUGAGUAUGGAAUUUUUACUAUAGUUCAAGCAUAGAAUAAUAAGCCCACUAUAAAAAUUUCACCACAAUUGGACCUUAUAAACUACAUAUAUAAAUUAUUCUAACUAAUUACAGAAAAAACAUAGAUUUAAAGCUAUAGCAAAAACUUUGCACUAAAGUAUACUAUAUUAUAUAUUCACUAUGUAGAUCUACUCAUCGAGAGUCCAACAAAAUUGGAUUUUUCAUUUUAUAUGUUUUCUAUGAUUUAUUAUGAUUUUCCAAAUAUUCAGCGGAAAUAAAUAAUAAAGAAAAAGACAAAACCACCCUCCAAAACCACUCAAGGGGUUAUUUGACCGGUUUUAUAGUUCGGGGGAUAAAGUAGACUAGACUGAAUAGUUUAGGAGGUUAUGUAGACUUUUUUCGAAGAGUAAAUGAUGGAGAGUGAGCAAGUAGGGUGUUCUGACUAAGCUACUAAGACAUGCUAUGCGGGUAGGAGGAAUAUUGUGGCCAUAUUUUUCAUUAUGGUGGUGACCUUACAGUUAUCAAUCAUCCAAGUAGAGGUAGAAGAAAAGAGAGUGAUGCAAGCAUAUUUAACUCUACAAACCUGGUGGGCUUCUCAAAUAGAACCAAUGGCCACGUCUCCCAAAAUCUUUACGUUCGUUGGAUCUGGACUAUCCACGGCUCCAGUUGCCCCCGCCUGAUUUUCAUCCGACCAGAUUCUGAUUUAACUGUUUAACUUCACAGUGAUUCCUUCUAGCUUCACGGUGAUUCCUUCUGUAAUGAACGUUUACGCGUGGCUUCUCCCUUCCUCGUGUCUUCUUGUUUUCCAAUCCACUCCAUCGGCCUUGCCCACUCCGCUCCGCUCAGUCCUUACUGGUUCUAUACUCUACUCACAUCCGCCGCAUUCAAUUCCCCACAACCACCCCGUCCUCUCGCACCGGUCGCCUGCCUCAUCUCGUCCUCAUCGACCUCACCGGAGCUCCACCCGCCCUCUCGCACCGGUCGCCUAUCUCAUCUCGUCGUCGUCGACCUCGCCGGUGCUUCACCACGUUUUGCCAUUACCUAGCCUCGGCUCUUCCUCCCUGUGUGCAUCCGUCAGACCAUCGUCGCAGUUGGGGCACCCACCCCUCCCCGAAAUUUUCAGUUGAAACUUAACAGCUGUAGGAAAAUUAUGCAUGCACCCCAAAGGGCUCAUACCUCUUAUUUGCUAAAUAAGUUUAAUAAUCAUAUAUUAUUAGUGUGCUGGAAAUUUUUGAAUAGUAUAUCUAUUACAGGUAUUAACAGUAGCAUUUAUUUUGAGCAGACAUUGAGAAAGCAAGGGUGGAAACUGAGAUUUUAGAAAACUCAGUUUGCUAGUUUCUACUUCAACUGGUAUGUAUUUGUUUGCUACCAUAAGUCAAAACUGAUGUUUCCUUGGUAAAUCAUGUAUUUCUCUAGCUGCACUGACUAUGAGAAUGUAUUUUCGUGUAUAUGUGACUUGCAUUUAUUUCUUUUUCUUAAUGAAAUAGCUGCCAGACUAUUUAAUAGAUGCACUAGUUUUUUUAUAGGAAUUAAUAGCUUUUUGUGUUGUAAUUUAUAAUUCACCAACCGGUAGUGUUAUAUUGGCUUGUCAUUGCAAUAUUAUUUGUUAAGCUUUCUGAAUCUCCAUUUGCUUCAACGUUUCUUUUUUCAUGCAUGGUUUCAGGAAAGGCUUGAGGGCAGUGCAAAAUAAGAAUUGGUGGAUAAACAACAUUGGCAAAGCGAAGGAAGGAACAUCAUUCAAGUUGGCUGCAUUGCUUAUUGCUGCAUGGUGGAUAGACAAUGUUGCCUGUAUGACUUAGUGUUUUUCUAAAAUGUGUGUAAAUGGCAUCUUUGUAUCUUUGUAUCUUUGUAUACAUAAACAAAUUCUUCCAAAUGGUUGUAAUAUCCAUGUGAGUGCGAUAAGAAAUUAUUAUCAUCUUGAUAUUUGCCAUUCAAUAAAUGGGCCACCUUUGAUUUUAGUCUCUUAAGAAAUGAGCCGAUAUCUCUUAAAAUAAAUAAAACAUGUGAGCAAGAUGGUGACAUAAGCAUCCAUGUCAUCAUCCAUGUAAGCAUCCAAGAUGAUGUGGUAUUUCAUCCAUGACAGUUUAGAAUCGUCACAGAUAUUGGGCUUGGACUGGGCUUUGGGCUGUUCUAUGACGGUUUAAGACCGUCAUGUUAGUCUGUGACGGUUUUUGGAAAACCGUCACUGAGGUUAAUCUAUGACGCUCAAUCUAUGACAAUACCUAAAACCGUCACAGAUACUAUAUUGUGACGGAUUUUUGGUGAUCCGUGACGGAAAUAUUUCGUCAUGGAUUAGCAGGAUUCUUGUAGUGUAUGGACACUCGAGCUUCGUCUAAGACGUUUACCACGCUGUGCUGCGCGAGGAUCGACGAAGCCGCCGCACGUUGUGGUGCCCGCGGGACGUUGCGAAGUUCGGGCGUCGUAGUCGCCGGGUGUGUUGUUGUCAGGGACGUGAACGCCGUGAAGGAGGACACGUGGGAUGCGGUCAGGUAAGACCGACGCCGGGACGCGCAUGGCGCGCUGCCUGUCGACGGCCAUGUUCCGCUCCUGUUGUUCAUCGACCGACGAAGAGCUCAGACAGGAUGGCUGGGCGCGCUGCGCGCGGAAUGGCAGUGAGGCGCGACUGAAGGGAACGCAAGACUCCGUCACGUGAAAAAAAAAAGAGCUUCGAAUCGAUCUGGCUCCUUGGAUAUUGGUUGGAGGGUGGAUGGCAGGAGUAAAGUUACGACGUGACUUGCCUAAGCAAAGUCACUGAAUCCACGUGCGUGCCGUCUGACCCUCGCCAAAAAGUCCACGGCCACGCGACCCUACUUGUCACGCAAGGCCAGCGCCAACUGUUCUAGCAGGCUCGCUGACACGCCCGGCCCCACCAUAUCUACCAUAAAUACCACGGACACAACUCGACCAUUCCACUGGACUCCACUCCAAUCCAAAGCCGCCCGACAUCCUAUCCUACUCGGCGCUCGUCUAGGAGGCAAACCAACUUUUCGUCCCCCCGAUCGCGCGAACCUUCUCCACUCCCUCGCCUCCUCCGCCGGCCCCGCCAUGGACACGGCGAUCGGCUCGGUCCCGGCCUCUUCCGACGGCGCGGCGCAGGCGGCGUCGGGUUCCGCCCCACGCGACGCGACGCUGGGGCGGCACCUGGCGCGGCGGCUGGCGGAGGUGGGCGCCCGUGACGUCUUCACCGUCCCCGGGGACUUCAACCUGACGCUCCUGGACGAGCUGGAGGCCGAGGAAGGGGUCCGCCUCGUGGGCUGCUGCAACGAGCUCAACGCGGCGUACGCGGCGGACGGGUACGCCCGCGCGCGCGGCGGCGGGGUGGGCGCCUGCGCCGUCACCUUCACCGUCGGCGGGCUCAGCGCCAUCAACGGCGUCGCGGGCGCCUUCAGCGAGAACCUCCCCGUCGUGUGCAUCGUCGGCGGGCCCAACAGCAACGACUACGGGAGUAACAGGAUCCUGCAUCACACCAUCGGAUUGCCUGAUUUCACGCAGGAGCUCAGGUGCUUCCAGACCGUCACGUGCUAUCAGGUAAAAGGAGUAUAGCUUCGUUUAGUUUCCAAAGGUUAAUUUGGCUGCAGUAGUAUUUUUGUUUUAUUUGUUAAUUUAUGUUUAAUUAUAAAUUAAAUAGGUUUAAAAGAUUUGUCUCGCGAUUUAUAGGUAAUAUGUGUAAUUAGCUUUUGUUUCUAUCUAUAUAUAUUUGAUUGGUGAAAAAAAUUUAAGUGUGAAACUAAAUAAGGCCUAAUUCCUCUCCUAUCUUUUUUUCUUUUUUUUAUGACGUGGCGACUCCGAGUAAUAAUGGUGGGGCCCAGUUCUAGACGUCUGCUGACUCCUGGUACUGCAUUACGUGUCCACUGUUGGACCCUACAACCUAGCAUGUCUCACGUGUGGUUAUUAGGUGAAAAUGAAAUGUUUUUUUUUCAAAAAGGAUGGCAAUACAUUUGUCAUGAUUUUUAUUAGACAAAGAGAAAAAUGAAAAAAUAGAUACAAGCGCUACUAAGAAGGAAAAAAAAGCGCUUUAGUCAGGGUCGAAAGAAGAACUGAAAUUAGAAUUAAACCACCGACAACUCCCAAACGAAAAAGAAAACAGCUGAGGCCUUGUUUAGUUCACUCCAAAAAUUUAAAACUUUUUUAACAUUUUCUGUUACAUCGAAUCUUACGGUAUAUGCAUGGAGUAUUAAAUAUAAAUAAAAACAAAAACUAAUUACACAAUUUAGCUAUAAAUCGCGAGACAAAUCUUUUAAACAUAGUUACUCCAUAUUUGGAUAAUGUUUGUCAAAUAAAAACGAAAGUGAUACAGUAUCAAAAUUCUAAAAAAAUUUGGAUCUAAAUAAGGCCUGAAAUACACACAACUAGACACCGAAAGAGACAACCAAGAGACUAAAAAUCAUGACAAAUUUAGGUGUCCACUGUUGGACCCUACAACCUAUGUCUCACGUGUGGUUUUAGGAGUGGAGAUAGGGGGAAGGGAAACAUAGGCCUUGUUUAGAUCCGAAAACAUUUCGGAUUUUGACACUGUAGCACUUUCGUUUUUAUUUGACAAACAUUAUCCAAUUAUAAAGUAACUAGGUUUAAAAGAUUCAUCUUAUGAUUUACAGACAAACUGUGUAAAUAGUUUUUGUUUUCAUCUAUAUUUAAUGCUCCAUGCAUAUGCCGCAAGAUUUGAUGUGACGGGGAAUUUUGAAAUUUUUUUGGUUUUCAGAGUGAACUAAACAAGGCCAUAAUGGGCUAGAAAAAAGAGGUAUGUAUGGUAUUGGGAUAUAUAGGACUGUUUAUAUCCAUACAUGUCCGUACCCUCUCUCCAUAUCCCUUUACUUUAUGUCUUUAUUAUCCAAACGCCAGCCAACCUAGAUGAAAAUGAAAUGAUGUUUUUUCCUUUUCUGAAAAGACAGCUAGAAAAUUGCUGUGAUUUUUACCAGACGAGAGAAAAAAAUGGAUACAAGCGCUAAUCAGAAGAGAAAAAGAAAAAAAAGAGUGUUUCGGCCGAGGUGGAAAGAAGAACCGAAACUAGAUAGCAAACCAGCAUAGUUUGAUAAAACUCAGUAAGUUGACAAAUAUGGAGUAUGGACGCGCGGUGUUGCUGGAUGGCAAGUUGCCAAAAGAUGACAACCUAUUUACUAAACUGUUGGAGUGACUAUUUUCUAGUUUUGUCAAAUAAACAAGAAAUGACAAGUUCAUUUAGUAAACUGUUGAAGAUGCUCAAACUCCGAGAUGAAAAAGAGAAACGGCUGAAGCGCACACGACUAGACACGGAAAGAGACAACCAAGCGAGGUUUCCUGCACCUUGUUGAUGCUGCGAAGAAACUGGUCGCCCUUCUGGUGGUAGUAGCAGAAAUGCAGAAUGUUAGUCAAACAGUAAGAAACUGCGGUAACCAUAUGAUGCAUAUCUUUUCUUCAAAACCCUGGUUGGUUCACCACGGCAUAUCUGUUUUUAGAGAAUACCAUUUGCAGCCAUGUAUAAUUGCUGCAAGCACAACUUUUACCGUGCAUGGUAUUUACUGAUGAAACAUCAAUUCUGGACUUCUAGCUCUUGAUUGAUGCAUCAUGCAUAAGAGACUUGUGAAAUGACAGUUCAAAUGCUUACACUGGAGUGCAGUGCCACAACAGAUAACAUCCAUUUAUAGUAACCAAAAGUCCAAAACCCUUUCUACCUUUGGUAAAUAUUCCAUGUUUCCUGAAAGCCUAAUAAGACAUGCUCUUGUGGUAAGAGAGAAAGAGGAAGAUAAUAUUCAUUCUGAACUUUUUGCUAAAGGUAUUAAUAUUCAUUCUGAACUCCAUCAUUUUCGCAGUUGAUAGUUACUUUAAAAAUGUAGCCUCACAGUUCCCCGGCUAAGCCGGUUUUUAUUUGUACUUAAACCAUAUCUUCUUAAUGCAAUGAUAGGCAAUUCUCUUGCGUAUUCGAGAAAAAAAAGGUAUUAUGUUCUUUGUUCAUAUAUCACAGGCUGUGGUGAACAACUUGGAAGAUGCACAUGAACAGAUCGACACUGCCAUCUCCACGGCAAUAAAGGAGAGCAAGCCUGUUUACAUUAGCAUCAGCUGCAACCUCCCUUCGAUCCCACAUCCCACCUUCAGCCGUCAUCCUGUCCCUUUCUUCCUCUCCCCAAGGUAUAUUUCCCCAAGGCAAAAGUGAUGAACAGUUUGGCAUUGCUCAUGCUGAUAAAUCUGUUCGUUUUGUAGGCUAUCGAACCAUAUGAACUUGGAGGCAGCAGUGGAAGCCGCUGUGGCUUUCUUGAACAAAGCUGUCAAACCGGUGCUUGUAGGUGGACCAAAGAUGAGGGUGUCCAAAGCAUGCAAAGCCUUUGUAGAGCUGGCAGAUGCCUGCGGCUAUCCUGUCGCGGCGAUGCCUUCCGCAAAGGGGCUAGUGCCAGAACACCACUCUAGGUUCAUUGGCACGUACUGGGGCGCUGUGAGCACUCCAUUCUGUGCCGAAAUUGUCGAGUCUGCUGAUGCCUACCUAUUUGCUGGUCCCAUAUUCAACGACUACAGCUCGGUUGGAUACUCACUGCUCAUCAAGAAGGAGAAGGCCAUCAUUGUCCAACCAGAGAGGGUGGUGAUCGGGCAUGGCCCUGCGUUUGGGUGUGUUCUGAUGAAGGAUUUCCUGCAUGCCCUCGCAACUCGUCUGAAGAAGAACACUGCUGCGUAUGAGAACUUCCGUCGCAUUUAUGUACCUCCUGGCGAGCCACUCGCGUCUGAACCUGGAGAGCCAUUGAGAGUGAACAUACUCUUCAAGCAUAUUCAGGCAAUGCUGUCUGGCAACACGGCUGUCAUUGCAGAGACUGGGGACUCGUGGUUUAACUGCCAGAAGCUGAAGCUACCAGAAGGCUGUGGGUAAGCUCCUCUUCGAAUCACGAUUUGGCUGUGGAAUUUCAUUGUGAUACAAAAUUCAUCUGUCAUUUUCUUCUGUACUGUUGGUUGCUGGGUGGUGAGUGGUACCGCUGAUUUAGGCCAAGUAAGAUAAAAAUCUGAUGGAAUGUUGUUCUGAUUCUUUUACACCACUAGAUAUUCAAUGUUGUCAGCCUCUUUACCAUAAAGAAACAUUUCAUAUUAUAUAGUAGUGACAUCAAACUUUGGUUCAGCAUGUUGAGAUACUUUCAGUCAUGAGUUAACCAGGAGUUCUUUGCUUUCACCAGGUACGAAUUCCAGAUGCAGUAUGGAUCAAUUGGCUGGGCAGUGGGUGCAACUCUAGGAUACGCACAGGCUGCUAAGGAUAAACGUGUCAUUGCCUGCAUUGGAGAUGGCAGCUUCCAGGUAUGAUACCAAUUACCAAACGAUGGAAGUUCUUACAUUUUCAUAUCAAUUCAGUUCCUUGAAAAUACAGUAUGUGGCAAGAGUUUAAUUUGACUGUAAUUCAGGUAACGGCACAAGAAGUGUCAACGAUGCUCCGAUGGGAGCAGAACACCAUCAUAUUUCUGAUAAACAAUGGAGGAUACACAAUCGAGGUGGAGAUUCACGAUGGUCCUUAUAACGUUAUCAAGAACUGGAACUACACUGGUUUGGUGGAGGCAUUCCACAAUGGAGAGGGCAAGUGCUACACAGCAAAGGUUCGUAACUGUAUGUUGUAGUACUGCAAUUCUGCGCUCACGAAUGCCAGCUGCAACUGACAUUUUUUUCGCAUUCUCUGCUCGCAGGUUCGAACUGAGGAGGAGCUGAAGGAGGCACUGAAGGCAGCUCUGGGACCCAAGAAGGACUGCUUAUGCUUCAUUGAGGUCAUCGUGCAUAAGGAUGACACCAGCAGAGAGCUUCUCGAGUGGGGAUCUAGGGUUUCUGCGGCAAAUAGCCGUCCACCGAAUCCUCAGUGAGUGCAUCAGGUCUCCUGAAUUGCGCUGUAAAUCAAUCCUCUUUCUGGUGAUGUCCAUAUCAAGAAGACUCGGGGAUUUCUGAAUAAUUUUUUUUGUUUUGUUUUUCACUGUCAUUUCUGAAUAAUUUCUCCCUGUAAUUCACUGAUGUUGCAAGCCCUUGUUGCUACUUCACAUAGAUGAUUUCAGAAACUGAUCUUGUAUAGCUGUAUUACUGCCAAUAAAUCUGAAAUCAUUUUUUUUUGUUCUUCGUUCUGGCACUUUGUAAAUUCUCUUCUGUUAGAGCUCCUGCCCUGGUGUCAUGCAUAAGUUUCAGCCUAUUCUUUCAAGUCUGGCCAUAAGAGCUCUCUCUUACCAAGAUCUAAAAUCUUUAGCAAUUGUAAAUGGAAGAAAGUAGUUUCAGUAAACGAAGGAAAUACAUUUCUUGAGUUAGUCCAACACGUGCACUUCGUAUAUCAAGCACUCUCUGUUAUCAACUAAGUGCAUUGCUCGUUGUAAAGGCCAAAAGGGGAACAACUAUUAGGUUAGGCAGAUCAACUUUGAAACCGAAGACAUGAAAUUGCAGUAGCUGAAGGAGCAGUAACCCUUUCCGAUUGGUCCCGGCAUAUAAACAAUUUUCUCAAAAGAAGUGAAAGUAACAUCGUUAAGAAAGCAAAUUCUGGUCUUUGAAAGAAAGCAAUUUUUCUCAACCCGGCAACUGCCCAUAGUUUUAUUAAAAAAAAGAGUCACAGUUAUGAGCAGUUUUUAAAAAAGACAUUACGAACAAGUUUAUGCAUGAUAAAGCCCAUUUGCACAGAAGAAUAUUAGUUGGUUAUGUGCUAGUUCCAUGUGACACCUGAGCCAGAAAUUGUAGCAAGUUUUUCUUCUUCUCUGUAACCUUGUUAUUUUUUCAUUAUGCUUCAUAUCAUUUUCCUGAAGAACAAAUUUAUCUUUCAUAUAUUUUUUUAUUAGGAAGCAGGAGGACGGGAUACCCCUACUGGAAUUGCAUUAGGGUAGAAAAAGUCUGAAAGCUCUGGAAACCCAAAUGCUCAGACAACAGAUAGAGCAAAAGGCAGAGUAUAUUCUAGACAGGGAGCCAAUCAAAACUCAAAAGGUGUCACGGUCUUUUCACCCAAACCCUGAAAUGUCAAGCCAAUCAUCUGACUUAGGAGGCAGCAUUUCUGCAUGCAUCCAUAUGAUACAGUCACCCACACUGGUCUACAGCACACCCCAUGCAAACCCUGGUCCCCGGGCCAUGCCCAUGUGAUUUUACAGACUAUUUCAGCACUAGCAACAGUUCACGGUCCAAAUCAAACCACACACAGUAAAACAAACCAUUUUGGGCACACACAAAACACAAUUAGCACUCACUCUUGACCUGAAGAUUCUCCUACCAUCUCUUACAGGCUCUGACAGUUCAGGAACUGGAUAUACAUAUACUAAUAUAGCAUUCUCUAUAUGGACAUGAUGGAGUAAUGUGAUUCAAGAAUCCUCUGCCGCUUGCUCUGAAAGGGACUACUACUCCCGUAUGCCGUUUCUGGGGAAGCAACCCUGGCUAGCGCCUGCCUGACAGCCUCCUUCAGAGACCUGAGGCUUGCACUUGCUGCACCUACACCUGCACCACCCCAGCCCUCCUCUUUGCACAGUACGAACACAUGCUGCACCCUUCCUCCUAACGAGGUCAUGUCGGCCCUCACCGUCCUCAGCCUCAGGCCAUGGAACGCCUGGGCCAGCCCGGCGACGAGGUCCGGCCGGUCGUCGCAGCUGAUCGAGGCCUUUAUGUAGAUGACCUUGUCGGCGCCGGCGCCGGUGUGGAGCUCGAUGGAGACCUCGUCGGUCUCCGGGGGCAGGGGCACGCUCUGGGUGGUGGCCUCGCUUGCGUUCCUCUUCAGGAGCUUCACUUGCUCUACCACUCUGGCAAGCAAGGUGGCCUUGUCCAUCUGCAGCAGUGCAGGGAGAGUGUAAAAUUGAAACCUUUGCUUAGACGUCAUAAGCAUUGUGCUUUGUUUGUCUUGUUAUAGAGAACUCCAAAGUCCAAAGUGGAAAGCAUGAUGAAAUGUGAACAAAUGUGAGUGCAAAGGUUCCAUUCAUAUGGCUUUCUUGCAAACCUCAAACUUAUCCAUAAAUUAUUCCCAAAGGACAGACGUUUGACAGGGAGAUAUCUAACACUGAGAUUAUGGACCAUGGAAGGAUCACACAAGAAGAACUAACGUGGUAAAAUCUCUGAAAUUGCUCAGGUAGUGUUUCAGAAAUCUUGCUAAAUGAUUCACACAAGUGAACCAUUGAGGUGGAAGGAUCAAACCACAAACCUGCCUAGUAUCAGGAAUCAUCCUCCUGAGCGUAGCCAGAUGAGCAUUGAUCCUCUCCCGGCGCCGCCGCUCGGCCUCGCUGUGGAUCUUCAGCGCCCUCGCCUCCGUUGUGCUCCUCCCCGACCCCGACGACGACGACAUCUCCGGCGGCGCUACCCUCACGGCCCGUGGAGCCGAGCUUGCCUGCCGAGGAAGAAGCACUGGCUGCAGCUCCUUCCCUUGCAGAGGCUGGCAUGCAGCCAUUCAACCAGACAUCACCAAAGUGCCUCACCUUUAGGUCCUUUUCACUGGAACAAAGAGGCCCAACAAAGAGGUUGACUGAAUAUUUGAACAGCAUCAACAGAGACUGCAAAUUGGAAGAACUGAUGCAGCAAGCAUAAGGAUCAGAAUAACAGAAGAUGAGAUGCAGCAAACCAGCAAGCAGAGAAAGAGAGUACUGAGUACCUGAUGUUGCUUGCAAUAAGUGGUGCAACAACGUCUUGUCAUCUCAUUCUCUGGAAUGAGUGAUGAUAUGCAUAUGCUUGUGUGCUAGAUGUGAUCAUCUUCUUAUGAUAUGAGUGAUGAUAGGUAGGGGCGUACUGCGGUGUGCAGUGUACUCUGCUUUUUUACUGGCCAACCACUCUACAUAUAUAUAUCUUGGUAUUCCUCUCUCCACAUGUGUUCCCACUAGGAAGAUGGAUGAGGUAUGCAUGCAUGAGUGUGCCAUGAGUAGGAUAUGAAGAAAAAGCCUGCCAAAUGGAGGGUUUUCAAGAGCCGCCUAACAAGUUUCAGUUCUGGUGACAAGGAUUCACAUGACUUCAGACUGUAGUCAUAUCAUCAUAUGUUUGGUAACUCAGGCCUUGUUUACUUCCCAAAAUUUUUCAAGAUUCUCUGUCACAUCAAAUCUUGCGGUACAUGCAUGAAGUACUAAAUAUAGAUAAAAAGAUACCUAAUUGCAUGGUUUAUCUAUAAUUUGCGAGACGAAUCUUUUAAGCCUAGUUAGUCUAUAAUUAAAUAAUAAUUGUCAAAUAAAGCCAAAAAUGUUACAGUAGCGAAAUCUAAAAUUUUUCGCGAACUAAACAAGGCCUCAAGUAAAGAUUCUUUUCACUGCUGUUAGGUGGACUGAAAAUCUUGAAAUAUGCUUGGAAGUUAGUUGGAAGGAAGCAGAUGAGGAGUCUAUUAGUAGUAACUUUUUUUUUCAUCUAUCUAAUCUAACCUGCCAAAAACUUCUGAAAGUAUGGAAGACAGACAGAUCACGAGAUUCCUCUUCUGGAAUUGGGCAGCCAUGGAAGAAAGUCUUCGCAAUCCAUUGACUAGUGUUCCAUGCUCUGCCCCACGAGUGAGAGAGACGGACAGGGACACGAUUAAAUGACUGCUCAUGAACCGUACUAUGCUCCAAUAGUUUCAGUCUUGGCAUUUAGCUGCAAGCACGCUCCUUAACAAGCAACAUCAGGAGAGGUCUCUGCAUCCUUUCAGACUGACUGGCUGACUUGCCUAGCUUGCUUUCUGCAUAUGAUUAGUUUCGAGUUUCACCAAUCAACGCUCUCAUCAGAAAUUCAGAAUGCAUUGAUUCUGUGUCCUAUGCGGUCUGAGGAUCAGACAGUCGAAACCAAACACUGUUUACUCGAACUUAUCCCCUGAUAAACACUGAUCUCUGUCGUCUUGUGCUGCCUAAUUGUUUGUUUGCCCCCUGAAAACAUGUGACACCAGAAUUCAGAACCAGCACGGCUUCGUGGCUACUUGCAGAGCAUUUUAUUCAGACUGUUUAGAGAUCUGGCGCGGAGCAAUUGAAAUGGUUUAGCCUUUGACCAGUGAACAAGGAUAUGGACGAGGCCAAAACUGUGCAGGAUUUAAUAGAGAGAGACGGUUCCCUCGGACUCCUUCCUUGGUAUACUACGCCAUGCUCUGCAUGUGGACCUGCUGCAGGUCGACAAGCUGCCCAAGAAACCGUGGAGACGACUGUUUCAGAGACGGAAAUGACAAACGCCAUAGUAUGAUUUGUUUGUCCUUGUGUCUCGGCCUGCGUUUAGGCAUCUGAAAUUCAUGUGUCCUUUACCGUGGCAACCAUUGUCAUUAACUGAUUCGUGAAGAAAUCUAAUUUAGUAUUCGCCCAGGCCAUGCUAAACUUUAUCCGACUGUUGUGACUUCUAAGAUGUUUUGAUCUAGAGAAAAUUCCUUGUAUGACAUUAAAAAAUUACACAUACCAUUUAAAAUUAUAUCUUACCUUUGUUAUCAUCAGCUUUAAUUUUUCUUCCCUUAUUAUGUGCCACUAUUAUCAAUUUGCAUCCACAUAAUUCUUAAGCGGAAGUGGAAAAGACAAUUUUACCCUUAUAACAUAUGGAAGUAUUUUUUUUCUGGCCUAUCAAUCCUUCCAUGACAUUGAACUCAGGAAUAGAUAUGCAUAUAUUGGUGUCCCAGAUUUUUGUUUGCACAACAUUCAAUAUUUGAAAAAAAAUGUAAAAUUGAUGGCGCUGGCAUACAACAAAGGAAAGUUAUAAUUUUCAAUGGUAUACUCCCUUCUCCCACAAAAGAAUGCAAUACUCGUUUUUCGAGAAGUCAAACAAUUUGAAUUUUGACUAAAUUUAUAUAAAAAUAUACUAACAUUCAUUAAACAAAAUAAAUAUCAUUAGAUUAGUUAUAGAAUAUAUUUUUAUAAUAAAUUUAUUUGAAAACAUAAAUGUUAAUACUAUUUACUAUAAAUUUUGUCAAACUUGAGUUAGUUGGACUGACACACAUCCCAUAGUUUCAUUUUUUUAUGGGCGGAGGAAGUAUGUAAGCAGCGGAAAAGUAUAAAAGAAUAGCAAGGAGGGGAAGUUAUAAUUUUCAAUAGCAUAGAAAUGUUGGGGCUUCGCGGAUGGUACCGAAUGAAUUUGCUCUUACAUUAUCUUAAUAUCGUAAAUCUAUUUCAUUUUAUACAUAUAUUAUAAUAGAAAAUCAUUGUUAGUAACACACCUUGAGAACCUAUAUAAAACUUUAAAAAAACAUCAAGUAUUUUUAUGGAGGGAGUAUAUAUAUACAACCAUUACAUGUAAAGUUGCGCAUUAUGCUACUCUUAAUGCAAUACGCGUCUAGACAUAGUCACGAAAAAAAAUGCUACUUUGGCUCUAUUUGGAGAGGAAGGUGUUCUUUUUAAAUUAGUUACAGUUUUGUGGAAAAGAAAUAUCAGAUACUGUAAUUAUGAGGUUCAGACAAAUCUUUUGAAGCGUAUGAGUUUAGAAGAAAAAAAUGUUCUUUUGCGUCUUUCAGAGCGUUCUUGCAACUCUUGUCUGUGCUACAACUACAAACUUCCUCUGAUCUGACUUGUACCCCCACAAAUACCUGCAUUCAAAAGGCCCGGAGUAUUUGUCUGCAAUGGUUAUCGGUUUUAAGCAACAUGGUGCAAACUGAAGCUGACAGUGACAGAGAUAUGUGAUAUUAAUAACUCAGAUUUGCUUGUGCACAGCACAGUGCAUAUCUAUCCAUGUCUACUUGUUUGGCUUGUUGUAGCCUUGGCUUUGUUGCUUAAGUUCAAACAAGGGGGCCAUGUAAUCUCCGAUCCAUGAUCUUUCCGGAUCCUUAGAAUCCUUUUGACGUUCUCUGUCUAUGGCGAUGAAAACUGCUGCUGCCUUCUGGUUUGGACGUGUUAGCUAGAUUCACUUUUCUUUUUUGACAUUCUUAACAGAGGAUUCCAAUGGUUCAACUUUUUAGUAAUCACAUGGAUAAAAAACACUGGGUGUACCUUUUACUGUUGUUUGAGACUAAGUACUACCAUCAUCAUUACGGCAUCUCUAAGAGAUUAGCUAAAUCAUUUUCUAAAAUUAAAUUUGAUUAUUGUUGAAGAAAAACGUUUCUAACAGACUGUAAAACGACUCUCCAAAUUUAGUAGCUCUCCAUCUUACCUUAUUACCUCACCAGCUAUUCUUUAGUCUGUUGGAGUACUCUAAUAUUUUUUAUCAAAUCUAUUCUAGAGAGUUGCUAAAUCUGAAAUUUAAUUAAUUUUUUUUACUAAUCUUUUGAAGAUGCUCUCACGGGAUGCAUAUACAAGUCUCUUGCAUAGCUAUUUCUUGCAAGAAGCCGAUCGGGUGGCCAGUCUUUUUUUUGUGAUCAUUAAGAGGAAUAAAACUGAAGUUUACAACCCAUCGGACUAAGUAAGGCGGCGAGAGUCCACCAGAACCCGGAAACUGACUAUCGGGUGGCCAAUCAAUUGGGCCGGGCCGGAGUUACGUGACGAGAUACUUCCAGGCUAGCCCAUUAGGCAUUAUUAGGCCCAUGCAUGUCGUCCAGUGCUGUACUACACUAGCGGGAGGAGGGAGCUCGCUCGGCCGACAGUGCCCUGGCCUCCACGUCGGCUGCAUGCAUGCAGUGCGUGCAGACGGUAACAUCCAUCCAUCGAAUUACCGCGACACGCAGGCAGCUACGUGCUCGCUCGCCGCGCGGUAAGCCCCUCAUCCUCCUCACACGCGUCCGGCCCGGCCGGCCGGGGGCAGGCGCGGUCGCCAGCAUGCAUGUCCGCCACGCUAACCCCCUUCUCGCACUCGCGGUAAAAGAUGACGAGGCUCGCUAGCUGUGUAUAUAUAAGUACGGCGCCGCUCGAGUCCACUCUGAACGGCAAGAGUGACCUGAGCUCGAUCGACGGCGGGUAGUAAAGUAGAUUAGCUUGAAGAGUUUGCUGUGUGCGCGCCAGCGAGCGAGCGUCCGGCCGGCCGGCUAGCCGCCGCCGGUGGUGGUGGGGAUAGCAAUGGCGGCGUCGCAGCAGGCGGAGAAGGCGGCGGAGCUGCAGGACCCCGAGAUCCGGGCGGCGCUGGACCGCCGCGUCCGCGAGGAAGGCGAGACCGUCAUCAAGAGCGGCACCGGCGGGACCAACCUCGAGGCUCAGGAGCGCCUCGCCGAAGGUAUUUUAUAUAUAUAUAUAUAUAUAUAUAUAUUCCCACGUGCACGCACGCAUGCAUGUUGGAUUCAUGCAUGCGUUCUUCCAUAUGUUUGACCGCGCGGUUCCAUGCAGGACGCAAGAAGGGAGGGCGCAGCCGCACGACGGAGUCCGGCAAGGAGCGCGCCGAGAAGGAGGGCGGCGUGGUCAUCGAGCCCGACGAGAAGCAGCUUCAGGAGGCCAUGAAGGACAUCGGCCGCAACUGAUCCGUCAUCAUGCAUGCAUAUAUAUCGUCGCUCCAGUCGUCCGUAUACGUCGUUGAUCAUCACCGUACGUAGUAGUAUACCACCAGGCCGCCGGUACAAGUUGUUGACCACGCCGUGGGCCUAGUAGUGGAGUAUAUAUAUAGUAUGUAAUAAUACACGUACGUCCGUACCUCGUCCGUGUAUGUGACCUUAGUUAUUAUUAGGUCGAUGUAGUUGUUGCUACAAGCAUAUAUACAUGCUGUAUGCUGUGCUACAAGCAUGCUCAAGCUUGUGUGCAACAGUACUACGAGUGCAGGCUACAAAGUUUUGGUCUUUGCAUUGUAGCCCCUUAGCCGUACGUAUGUGUGUGUAUAUUGUAAUUGCCACAAGGAAGCAUCCGCGUCGUGCUGCAAAAUUUUGGUGCCUGCGCAUGCAUGUCCAUGCAUGCCAGCAAGGUUUGCAGCACAGCUUUGCUUCAGCCCAAUAUAUAAAAUAAAACAACUUCGUCCUAUCUCUGCCAUUUUGGUUGUUGUCACUGUACUUAUAUAUCACAUUAACCAUGAGAAGUUGAGAGCCACAUACGGACACAUCAGUAUACAAUAGCCACAGAACUCGCGGAUCGAUGAUAUGCAACGCAAGAAACAUCAGUUGGCAAUUGGCAUGCACGCCCACACGGACUAUGAUGCGCAUCCAUCCAUCCAUGCAUCGAUCAGCCGCGGCACUUGAAGAUCUUGCUGCAGCCGCGGGUGUAUCCGUUGACAGGCUUCAUCGGGCGUUUGGCCUCGGGGCUCUGAUUCUUGUCGUCGCAGUUGCCCAGCGCCUUGCAGCUGAGCACCUUGUCAUACGACAAGUACUGCCCCUGAUCGGCGCCGGCGACCUCCUGCGGCACCGUCGACAGCAGCAGCAGGCACAGCACCGCCGCCGCCGCCAUGGCCAGCCUCGCCGUGUUGUUCGCCGCCGCCAUGCUGGGGGGCUAGCCUCGCUCCUCUCCUCUCCUCUCCUCUCCUCUUGCGGUGGAAAGAAAAUAUAUAUGAGGAGCUAGCUAGCUAGCUAGCUGGGGGGAGAGGUGCUUUUAUUUCUUGUAAUUAGUGUAAUGAUCGACCUGUGCAGUGCAGGUUUUGUAGAGGCUGCUUGUCUUAAGAUAUCUGUGGAUGAGAACAGAUGUAGGGCCUGGCGGCCUGCAUGUGCUAUGUUUAGAGAAACAACUCACGGGUCCUAUUCUGGGAAGCAGCAUCUAGGGAGUUUUCCUUGUUUAAGAAUGGGGAAAGAAGCUCGUGAUUCUUCUGUCGUCUGGGCCGGGUUUUCCCUUUCUGAGAUAGAUUAGCUAAUAAUGAUGAUAUCAUUCUCUUGUCCAACAGUACAAGUCAAAUAAAUGAUGCAUGCUACGGAAUCUCCGAAAGAAAAAAAAGAUGCUACAACAGUGUUCAGAGUAAAUAAAUUGAUAUGUGGGCUGGUUUAGUUUCCAACAAAUUUUGUAAAAAUUUUUACAUUCCUCGUUGCGUUGCGGUACAUAAUAUAGAUAUUAAUUGUAUAAUCUACUUGUAAUUUGUGAGAUGAAUUUUUUGAACCUAGUUAAUUUAUAAUUAGACAAUUAUAUUUGUCUAAUGAAAAUGCUACCGUCUCCAUUUUCUAAAAGAUUUUAGAACUAAACAAAGCAGUAAUUUCUAUUCACCCAAUUAAUAUAAAUCCUAUACAUCUAGCUUGUCUUACCUAAUGGAUUUUUGUUUAAAAAAUUUGACAAAUCUAACGCAUAAAAAUUUAUAGCUAAUUUCAAAUCCUAACACGUGUGGAUUCAAGUUAAUACAGCUGACACAACCAUUUACGUACACAGUACACCUACCAAAAUUGGUCUUCCAACGUCAAGUUUUCUCACCAAAACCUGCAUGUGUAUCCAACCGCCUGUAACCGUCAUCCGAUAUAGAUAGAGCUAAGCUGAUGGACGCCAACAGUGUCGAAGAGAUGAACAACAGUAAUGUUAGCAGGAAGGAGGGCCGGGAUAGGAGACUUGGAGAAGGGAAAUGGAAGAAGGUGGACAGAUUUCAGUAGUUUGGAAUGUUUCGUGUUUGGUUGCAGUUGGUAAACUUUAACUCUUGCCAUUUAACUCUUGCCAUAUUGAAUGUUUGGACAUAUGCAUUGAGUACUAAAACAUAGACUAUUUAUAAAACUAAAAACACAGCUAGAGAGUAAUUUAUGAGACAAAUUUUUUAAACCUAAUUAAUAUAUAAUUAGACACAAACUAUCAAAUAAGACGAAAAUGCUACAUUACGAGUUAAACUUUAACAACCCCAAUCAAACAUCCCUGAUUACAUUUCCGAUGGAACUGACCAAGAGAGGAUCCGACGACCCUAUCGGUAGCCACGGCCACAUAGGUGUACGUGUGUUGUUUCCUUUGCAUCGCAAUUUUCCUUGUUUGACUUGGCCCAUCCCCUCUGCAGUUCUAUAAUCAAGUCAAUGAUCGAGCUAGUCUAGCUUUACACAUAGUAUAGGAAAUCAUCAACAAUGUGCGAUCCAGCCUAGUCGCCUCGUCAUCUCCCUGUGCGACUGCUGAACUAGCAACCGCCCACCAAUGACGGAUGGUAGGUGUCGCUCUACGUCUCCACCGCGUCGCAUUGCCCUCGCUCUCGUGUGACUCUGCUCCUAGUAGCCACCCCCCUUAGGAUGAUAGGUGUCAUCUAGUUUGUGGAUAGUAAGGUGUCAUAACUUAACUUAUGUUACUGUUGUUAUUUUUAUGUUCAUUUUUAUGUUACAUCGUGUUCUCACGUUAGGGUAGAGAUAUACUCGCUAUAGUGCCAUUGUAGCCUAGGAUGCAAAGUGGAUCUUGUUUUUAUUCUCUCGCAUUUUUCUCUCCCCCCCACCCCUCUUCUUCUUCUUAAAAAAUGUUGGGGGGCUCUAUUUAGUGGGAGGUAGUAGCAAGGUUAGAUUCACCCUGACUAGCUAUUAAUUGUUGUGAGCAUGUAAUCAAAAUUAUUUAUGUGACAUCCUAUUUAAAGGAGAAUAAAAUUUUCAUUAAUUUUCACCGAGUAAUGAUGACCAACAUUAAUGGCUUCUUUUAGAUAUAUAAUAUUUAUGCUAUUUUUUUUAUAAAACUAGUCAAACUUGAAAUUACUUAACUCCCGAAAACGAACACGCUAUUAUUUUAGGAUCAAGGGAGCAUGUCAAAGCUUGGAGCCAACAAAUCCGUGUGUACCAACUUCAAAUAGAUAGUCCACAGUACUCCAGUAAAUAAAUUAUAUAAAAAGAAAAGUUCCAAUUGUAAGAUCGAUUCAUCCCCUGUCCAGCGUUCAAGCUAUGAGCACAAAUCAUCUGUAUUUUUUUUAUAACAACCUUUAUUGAUUUAACAACACCUUGCAGAGAAUAUGAGCCUACAACGUACGGCUGCCAAUUUACAUGGAUGAGUGCUUCCUUGACGGAACACUGAUGGAAGUGGACAGUGUGAUAUAAACAAAUCAUAAACAUAUUUAUAUUUCGCACAUUUUAAUAGUAUAGUAUAUAUAUAUACCUCAGCAUACGAAAUGGAGACACACACACACACACGCAAAAUCGACGAUGAGCUAGCCCUGCGGCGCGCACGCCCGGACCGCAUGCAUGCGACGCACAGUGAGGCUGGAUCGAUCGACCACCUGCACACACACACACACAUACGCGUGCAUGCAUGGAUCAGCCGCGGCACCCAGUGAUCUUGUUGCAGCCACGAUUGUAUUUGUUGGCCUGCGCCCCUGGGCGAUCAGAGAUGUCGCCGAGCUUCCUGUCGCAAGUGCCGGGGAUCUCGCACUCGGCCUUGCUAGCAGCCUUGCCGUAGCUGGCCUCGGCGGCGGCGGCGGCGGCCUCCUGCCCGGCCAGCAGCAGGCCAAAUAACAGCACCACGGCCAGCCGCGUGUUGUUCAUCAUCACCUUCUUCUCCACGGAUGCUAUAGCUUGCUGUUGUCUUUCAGCUAUAGCUCUGAUCGAUCUGCACGGGAAUAUAUAGUUAAAUUAAAGUUUGUUUUGUUUGCUUGGGCGAGGUAGAGAGAGGCAGACCAAGUGUUGUUUUAAUAGGAGGGUGGUUGUCUAAGAUAUGAGUGGAUGAGAGUGGAUUUAGCUAGCUAGUAGGGCGCUAGUACUAUGUUUAGAGAAAGAGAACACACUAGCUCGUGCUUAUUUUGGACGCGGGACUUAUUUGUCGCUCUAAAAUGGCGUGAAGCCUGCUGUACGUACGUUUCUUUGCUGCAUGCACUCGUAGGUACGUUGGCCUUGAACCUCCUUGAUCGGUGAACCCACCUGCAUUCUUGCUAGUACACCUAAAGAACCAUAUAGCUGCCACUCUCUGUUUAGACUUUACCUCAUAUAUACUUGUAUCCACUUCUAUCCAUGUGUGUGCUGAGGUGGAUUUGGUAGAUUUUCAUACGACUGAGCACAUAUUUUAUUAAUAAGAGAGCAAGCACGACCACCCAUAUAAAGAUAUACACUAUUAGAAACUCAAAUAUCACUGUGAGUGACGAAUUUUUCUAUGCGUUUUUUUGAUACACACAAAAAAUUAUAAAGUAUCCUCACAGAAAAAUGUGAAAAACCAUAGGGUAAUUGUAUGAUUUUUUGUGCGUGAUAAUACACACAGAAAAAUUACCAUUAUUCUGUCGGUUUAUUUAUAACUCACAAAAAAACUUAUACAUGCACAACAAAAUUGUAAUUAUUCUGUUGGUUUUUAUUUCACACAUAAGAUGAAAAUAUACGCGGAAAUAGUUGAAUAAUUAUAUUUAUUAUUUGAAAAUAAUAGCAACUAGCUAUUCUCUUUGUUUUUUACGUGUCAUAUUAGGGUUGUCCUUAGUUGAUCAUUUGUAUAUUUGAUCAUCAGUAAAAAAAAGAUUCAUGAUAUAAGAUUUAUGUUUUUAGAUUUCUUAUGAAAAAUAUUUUUAUAAUCUAUAAUUUAUAUGUUGUGAAACUAUAAGAAGUUGAAAAAACAAAUGGUUAAAGAUAGUAACAAUGUCACUUAAGACAAAGCUAAUAUGACAUGUAAAAAAGAAUAGAGGAAGUAAUUAUACUAAUGAAUAUACACUAAUACUAAUUUUAUCAUGAUAAUCACUAAUUUUAAAAUAAAAUAUGUCAAUUAGCACCACUGUCAGCCUAAUUGGCACACAGUGGUGCAUCGAUCAACAUAUAAGCACUUAUAAAAAAUGAAUUUUACCAUUAUGAAUUUAUAAUGACUAAGUAAUAUACUGGUAAUUUUUAAUUAAUUUAUUAGUACUAAAGAUAAGAAAAUAUGGACAUGUUUGUCUACUCCUAGUGUCUAGUACUAGAUUUGUGCGUAUAAACUCAUUUAACACUUGUAGAAAAUAUUCUUGUGUGAUGAAUAUUUAUGUCUGAAUUAUAUUAUGAUGAAUCAAACUUCUCUGAAUCGUCAUCUCCAAACCAACCCUGAAUGGCGAGAAGUAGCCGUGUUCUAGAAACUUGACAGAAUACGGAUUGGAACCUCAUGCAACUUGUGUUCGUACAGAGCCGUAUCUGAGCUGUGUUUUUGCUUUCAUCACCCGCUAUUAUCCAUUCUGCCAUGUGCCCAUAUUCAAUUGUGUCAGCUGACUCCUCAAACCUCCCACUGACGUGUGGGGCCGAGCCAGCUUACUCCGUCAAGCCGAGAGCAGAGCGGCGUCGCCCACUCUUCUUUCUCACCUCGCAGUCGCACGGAGUACUCCCUCCAAUCUCCAUCUCCCGCCGGCCUCUCUCGCUUCCUCCUCCGGAACUCGAAAACCCUCGCCUCGUGCAGGACUCCGCUGACGCUUCCUCCGCGCCGCUGGGAUGGCCGAGAAGCGAGGUGGGUCGGCCUUCCUUCCUGUCCCUGCGCUGUGGAACGGCUCGAUUUGGUGCGGAGUCGGGCGAUCCCUCCCCGUGCCGUAUCGGCUGCAUGAUGAUUGGCUUGGCUGAUCUCUUUAGUGCAGUUACGGGCGGCGAUAGGCGGGAGGAGGACCGCGCCAAGGUCGGGCUCCCGGCGUUGGACCUCUCACUCGCGUUCCCGCAGGCCACGCCGGCCUCCAUUUUCCCGCCGUCCGGUGAGUGCUUUAUUCCCUCAUUCAAUUUCGCUGGGAUAAGGAGUGAGGGGAUUGUGAUCUUUGGGCCGUGGAAUCGGGAGUGUUAGGAUUGCAGCGGUGGUUGUCUGUUCAGUUUUGUCCAGCUAUCCCCCCGGGAAUGGUACAAUUGUUUUUUGAGGAAAUGAUUGGCACAGUGAGAUGGGAAAACAUGCCCUCUUCUUUCAGUACCAAUUUCGACGAGACGUUCGUACUAGUAUAAUUGGCUAACUACCCAGUUACCUGGCCAUUUUAUCAUCUGGUACCGUUGUCUAGUUUUGGUAUUGUUUGGUGGUUUUCAUUGCAGCUCCAGCUGCUCCCUUAAUUAUUGCAUAGGCCCCAUUUAGACCAGCAUAUGCAGAUAUGCAGGUUGCUUUCCAAUUAAAUAGCAAUGCUUCUGAACUUGUACUCAACAGUUUGAGGCUUUUAGAGGGUUCUACAGUUAUGCAGAUAAGCAGUUGCAGUCCUAGUGCGACCCUGGAAUCAUGCAGCUUUCUAGAAUUUGUCACUUUAGAGCCGAAUUACAAUUACAGAAGCCUCGAUUUGGCAUGUUGCGAACAGAAAUAAAUAUUUAGUGUUUUGGUAGGCUCUUUCUUUCUUGGAUGGGUUGCUUUCAUAGCUUCAAUGCACAGCCACAAAUGUGCAACCAUGUCCUCCUCUUUCCCGACCUGUUUUGCUGUAAUUCUUAAGUAGCAGCACCCUGACAAUUUCUGGGCAGGUAUUAAACUACUCGACCUUCUAUGUGGCUCAGGGGGUGGGCCUUGUUUUCAAGAUUCCCCGUCACAUCGAAUCUUAUGGCACAUGCAUGGAGCAUUAAAUAUAGAUGAAAACAAAAACUAAUUGCACAGUUUGCCUGUAAAUCACGAGACGAAUCUUUUAAGCCUAGUUACUCCAUGAGUGGACAAUGUUUGUCAAAUAAAAACAAAAGUGCUACAGUAGCAAAAUCUAAAAUUUUUUCACAAAACAAGGCCCUAGAUAUAUAUGAUCCUAAUACCUAAAGUUCAGUUUUCUGUGCUAGUUUCCAUGGUUUUCGAUUACGAAAAUUCAAGUAUACUGUCUUAUCUAUUGGCUUAUAUGUUUGUACACCCUCAAUUGCAGCUUCGGAUUACUAUCAGUUUGAUGAUUUGCUGACCAGUGAAGAGCGCUCCAUCAGGAAGAAGGUCAGGGGUAUUGUGGAGAAAGAAAUUGCGCCCAUUAUGGCAGCGGUAUGUUAAAUUGGAGUAUUAGCUACUAGUCUGUCUGUAUACGUACCUUGUUACCCCAUCUUGGGUUAAACUAUCUGAAAACAGUUUGCUUAUGACAUAAGUCAUUGCCAAAUAUGCUUUCGUUUUUAUAUUACAUUGUCAGAUUGCAUUACAGUCUAUUUAUCCAUAAGUCACUUUUUUUUAUUAUAGUUGGGUUGACUCCUAAUGUCCUUAAAGCAGUUCCUUGUCAACCUUUUCUAUACAAUACCAUAAUCAUUAUUGAUUCGCUACUGCAGUACUGGGAAAAGGCAGAGUUUCCAUUUGAUGCCAUUCCUAAACUUGCAAGCCUUGGUGUUGCUGGUGGUACAAUAAAGGUAUUGAUUUUCUUGACAUUGCCAUGACCACUUUAUUUGUUAAUUACCUUUCUCUGUAUGGGUAAUAUUUAUUUGAAUGUACGGUUAGAGUCAAAUUUAGUUGAGCAAUUAUGUUAUUGGUUCUCUUCAGUACUUUAGUUUCUACUUUUUAGAAGAGUUCGUGCAAAUGGCUUCGACCGAUUAGUUUGCAUGAGCUUACUGUCGUCAAUUGCCAAGGCUUUUCAGAAUAUAUGAUCACUUACUAUAGUCUGUUCUUCUUUAACAUUAAUGCCUUUUUUCGCCUCUUUUGUGGAGUGUUGAAGUGUAUGGAGCUAUGUAUUAUCUACAUUUAUGUUUUAGUGCUCCAGUGUUUCUCAAGUUUAAUACGAGUCUUGGUUACUGCAGGGUUAUGGGUGCCCAGGACUUUCAAUUACAGCCAGUGCUGUUACUAUGGCAGAAAUGGCACGGGUAGAUGCAAGCUGUUCCACAUUUAUACUGGUGCACUCCUCUCUUGCGAUGGUGACAAUAGGUUCAAAAGCUGGAUUUCUUUUUAAUUUAUACUAUCUUGUGUUAAGAAGUUUUAUCAAUUACCAUUAUCAAUUACUCCGAAUGCUGGAGCUGAACUGCCCUAUCUCUUUCUCUCUUUCUCUCUUUAUGUUUUGUCUGAAGAACAGCCCUUUGUGGAUCUGAGGCACAGAAGCAGAAGUACUUGCCAUCCCUUGCUCAACUUACUACCGUUGGCUGUUGGGUAAGUUACAGUAUUCUUAGGCAUAAAAAUGUGUAACUGACAGAAUCUUUUCCUAAAAAGGUCUCUCUUCUGUAGGCAUUGACAGAGCCAAAUUAUGGAAGUGAUGCAAGCUCUUUGAGAACUACAGCGAGCAAGGUUAAGCUUUUGAUGCAUUUGGAUUUUGCAAGAAUCUAUAAAGGAGCACUUUCAAUACAGUCUGUACAAGGCUACAAGCUUAUUAUUUUGUUUCAGUUUAUUCAUUUUGUCUCUUGGCAUACCCUGGUAUAAGAUAUAGAUUUGGGGACAGCUAGGACAUUUUGUUCAUUCUAAUUUAGAUGGUAUUUGUGUUUACUGUUCAUUUCCUGCGCUUCGCAGUAAAAGUAAAGAGCAGGGUUAUAUACAACUACAAGAUUACUUGGAUAGUUGUAUUAAAUAGUUUUUGCGUUGAACCCUAGAACCACUGCUUUUGACAUCAUCCAUUGAUCUGUGUGCAUUUAUAGAUCAGAUAAAACACAUCUUCCUUGAAAAAGCAUUUGAAUCUAAAAAAUGAGAGCAUAAACUUCUCAUACUGGACUAAAUCCAAAAAAAUGUAGAAGGCACACAAUGUAAGCUGUGACCUCUUGGCAUUCAUUAUUUCUGGAUCAUUUUUUUAUUGUCAAGCACAAGCAGUGGUAUGCACCUUGAAGUGUUGGCUUAUCGUGGACAGGCACCUGGUGGGUGGCACAUAGAUGGUCAAAAACGCUGGAUCGGUAACAGUACGUUCGCCGAUGUGCUCGUGGUAUUAGCUAGGAAUGCAGAUACACAACAACUAAAUGGGUAAAUCAUCUUGCCUUGGACCAUCAAUGUACUUUCCUUCUGAAGCAUCCAACUGAUUAUGUAUAUGCCAUAUUUUCUUCUGAUGUGUUGUUUCAUGCAUUAAUUCUAUCUUCUUGUUAAGAAGUUUACAUUGAUGAGUUUUUGCAUUGCCUUGUUUCCUCAUUUGCGUUUGAUUGCUUCUAGGUUCAUUGUGAGGAAAGGAGCUCCUGGUCUGAAAGCUACAAAGAUUGAGAACAAAAUCGGUCUCAGGAUGGUUCAAAACGGUGAUAUAGUAUUUAAUAAGGUGUUUGUCCCUGAGGAAGACCGAUUGCCAGGCAUCACCUCAUUUAAGGAUAUCAGCAAGGUACUGCUGAUGACACUUUUCUGAUUUUGCUUCUGUUAUGCUCAUUUUUCUCUCUCCUGAUUUUAACUUCUGCUAUUAAGCCAAAUCACAAGCUCGGUGAUGUAACCUGCUUACCUACUUUCACUAUGCAAGCAGGUGCUUGCUAUUUCGCGCAUUAUGGUGGCAUGGCAACCAAUCGGCAUAUCGAUGGGGGUCUUCGAUAUGUGCCACCGGUACGCACCACCAUUCAAUUUGAUACUUUGUCACUGGCGAUAAUUUCACCUUGUACCUUUCGUCUACACCAAACAACAGGUAUCUGAAAGAGAGGAAACAGUUUGGCGUCCCUCUAGCAUCCUUCCAGCUGAACCAAGAGAAGCUUGUCCGGAUGCUCGGUAACAUCCAAUCGAUGCUCCUUGUUGGCUGGCGCCUCUGCAAGCUUUACGAGUCGGGGAAAAUGACGCCAGGCCACGCUAGCCUAGGGAAGGUCUGUCCGUCUGUGUGUGUGGACUUCAGCUGGCAGAUAUGCUCGUUUCUUUGCGCCGUCUUGGCUUCGAGAACUCAGUGGCUUAAUGACGCUUUCCUUUAUUCCUGGCUGUGUCUGCGUUUCAGGCUUGGAACUCCAGGAUGGCCCGCGAGGUGGUUUCCCUUGGCCGAGAGCUGCUGGGUGGGAACGGAAUUUUGGCUGAUUUCCUUGUGGCAAAGGUAUGCAGUGACCUAUAUCGAAAGUGCUCAUGGCUAGUUGUCUUUUUUUUGCAGUGGUGGUUUACACAUCAACCAACCAUCACCCUCCUUUUUUUUUUGUUAAUAAUUAUUACUGUCACGAUCUUGUACAGGCAUUCUGUGACCUGGAGCCAAUUUACUCGUACGAAGGCACAUACGACAUCAACAGCCUGGUGACCGGCAGAGAGAUCACCGGGAUCGCGAGCUUCAAGCCCGCCGCCGCGCUAGCCAAAGCCCGGUUGUAAUGUACUGUAUACUGUACAACGUAAACCACCUUUGCAGUUGCAGCAGGGAUAUUUUGAUGAAAGUUACCCUCCCCCAAUCCGCAUGUUGCAAAGUAAAGCACUGGAAGCGAAUAUAAAUCAGGGAUGAGGUCGCCGUCGUCACUGUUGCGGUGGCGGUAGAACAAACCGAGGACGUUCCCUGAACGUGCCUGGAAACCGCCGGUCAGUGUUGGCUGCUUCAAGAUGUACUACUAUUGUACCGAGUGAGUCUGAGUCUGGAUGGGAACAAAUUCCUGUAUAUGUAAAUUUUACUCUUCUGGUGGAGGCGGCAAAAGAGCACAGAGAUAUUUUGUUUCAGCACGACUGAAGCUAAUCUUGCUGUAUUCGCCGUUUUUGCUACAGAUGGAAGGAGAGAGGAGAGGAGGGGGAACACCAGGCAAAAUUGGUGUGUUUAUUGUUGUUGUGUUGGGUACCUUGUGAGCCUCAAUCAAUGAACAAAAACAGGUGCGUUUUACGCGUAGUAAGACGACUCCUCUAGAAGCUAUCAUAUCUCGGCUAAUCAGGCUAGUUGUUUGGGUUUAGCGUGGCUAUCAUAUCUCGGCUAAUCAGGCUAGUUGUUUGGGUUUAGCGUAGGGCGAGAGUGACCUGACACUCACAGCACAGCUGCAACAGUACCAUACCACACCAUCCAUCCCAUAUUCGCAUCUAUGGCUAUUUUGAGUGCAAGUAGGCUGGUAGCUUUAUGCAGCGCCAGGCAGCAGGCGUGCUGCAGCAGACCUGCAGAGCCGGCCCGAUCGAGGGCGAUGCCGAUGACCUGCAGAGUCUUUUACGUUUGCUGGCGCAUCGUGUGAUGAUGCGUGGGAGGGAGUGGUAGCUGCGAAAGCGAGUUGCGUUUGCGUGACGGCCGACCUGAGCUGAGACCUCCAAUUAUCGGUCCAUCCAUCCAUCCAUCCAUCCAAUUCUAUCCACGAGCUCUUCUCUCUCUGGUGGCUGGUGACGGCUGGUGAAGGCUUUCGGGUCCGUCCCCGCGGGGCCGAGUCGGCGACGACGGCUCCCACCGAACCUCCCCGACGCGGUCGCGCAGGCGCACCCAAGCCAUACACGUGACGGGGACGGCCCGCCCCUCGGAUUCCGGGGGUGUGCCGGGUGGGGAACGGACGGACGGACGGAUGGAACGGAACGGGGGGAGACUGCGCGGAUUUUUCACGUGGCGAAAAGGGCAGCAGAACCCACCCAACCCAAUGCGCGGUCCGCGGGUGCGGGGGCUCGGUCUCGGUGGGACCGGGACGGCACGGGUUCUCUCUCUCGCUCGGCUGCCCGCCUGCCAUUGGCUUGGACGCGCGGACGCCUGCCUGCCUUUGCCUCCUGUCACGUGGGCCGUGUCCCGCCCACGGCCCACGUUUCCCUCCCCUUUCCCGCUUGCGGUGCGGUUGCGGUGUCGGUCCGCUUCCUGACCGUCGCUCACUGCCGCGCGGGUCCACUAACUGGCUGGGUACCGCUGGCCGUGGUACAGUACUGUAGUAGUACAGCCGUACUGGAAGCAUUUUGUAUCGUUUUCUUCAGCCUGUAGCCUCGUCUCAAGCUGUUAGCUGUAGCAGCACGGCUCUGUGCCAGGCAUAUACCGUGUUCCGUGCUGGAAAGAAAACUCUGCAUUACGCGCUCUCUUUCUUUUUUUUUAAAAAAAAAAACAAAAAUACACUAAUAUAUAAUACUCCUGACUAGGAGUAUUGUAGAUGCGAUACUGUGUUGGGGGCUGGCUGAAGCACGAGUCGUGAGCGAGCAGCCGUGGUGGACAGUGUCGUAGUACGUGUACGAUUGCCUUGUUUACCGAAAACUUGUGCAACUAUGUGCAAGCGCGAUAGCCAUGGGGCCCGUGCCGUGAGCCCGGGGCAAACGCGAGGAAUUCGGCUCUCUCGGGACUCCCCCCCUGUUCCAGACGGGACUUGUCGAGUUUGUCAUCGAUCCACCAGCGGUCCGGAGUCAACCUGCCAGUCCGCGCCUGCCGCGCUCAGCUACCCCACGGUCUUCUGCUCUGCUCCUGGCGCCGGACCGGCCAAUCGCAUUCUCGCCGGCCCUCCCCUACUGCCGGGUUGGAAUCCAAAGCUGUGCGUGAUCGUGUUUACACCCACAACGAGUACGAGACGUGGAAACCCAACACCAAAAAGGCCCACUGUCCUCUCCUCCUCCUCCGCACGGUAGUAGUCCGUCCUCGCAUCCCAUGCCGAAAACGAAAUAAGGGCAGGAAGCCACCAGCACCACACCACCCCACCCCAGCUUGUAUCGUGGCGGGCGGGCGUGCGUGCGUGCGUCCGUGACACAAUGACGGACCGGCCCGCGCGCGGCGCCAGUCAAACAAGCACCUCUCCAUCCCCUGGUCCGUUCACGUCUUACCCCAUCAUCUCCUCCUAGUCUAUCCUACUCGUAUAGUAUAGUAUAGUAUAUACACGAUACUCCCACCACGUGCUACGCCCAUCCAUACCAUAUAUACACCGUAUACCAGCACGUGUCGACUCGAGGAAAGGGCCCCUCGGUCCCACUGACCCGUGGGCCCAGCGGGGACUCUUCUAGUAUACAGAUUGCGGGAAAAAAAAAGCUUCACGUACAGUACGCUACUCCGAAAGCAACUUUUCGUUAUCCUUCCUCCCGGUCGUAAAGACGAGCCGUGGGUCCCGGGGCCCACACCCAGCCAGCCAGCCAGCCAUCCAGAUACACACGGAGCCGUGGUGGGGCCCGCCCGCCCGCGUCCCGUCCCGUCCCGUCCUGGCUUCCCCCCACUUCCUUCCCGUUCUCCGCCCGCCCGCCUGCCCGCCUGCCUGCCUGCGGCUAUAAAUAGCCGGCGCGUCACCCUCCCCGCUCCGUUCCCCUCCCGGCCUCCUCUCUCUCUGCUCUCUCUCUCUCAUACGGACAAAUUCGGCUCGCCGCUUUGUUUACAGCGGCGACGCAAGCCACGCAGCGAGCCGCGGUUGGGUUGGCGUUGCGUCUCCCCUCCGACACCGAAGCUUCCUCCGGGGACAUCUCCCUUCCUCCCUCCGACCGCCCGCCGCAACCCAAAUCGCCGAUCUCCACCGGCGACGUUGCCCGGCUGGGCCUCGGCUUCCGAUUCCGUGUGGCGACGGACCGGAUCGGCCCGAAGCGAGGUACGGCACCUCGAUUCAGCUGUUUUCCCUCUGCUUCUCGCGCGAUCGGCGGUUUGGUCCGGGUCCGGGUACUCGUGUAGUGCCCAGGAUUCCCCAGCCUUCGCCGCCGGUGUAGGGAAUUGGGAUAGGCCCGGUUGUGGUUGUGGCGGCACAGGCGGCGAUUUGACGCGCCGUGAUCGAGGGACAUGCGAGGCGUGCUUUAGAAAUGUUGAGCCGUAGAGAGAUUUUCUGUUUUGCUUCUUCUUCUUCCCCCUGUGGGAUCGAAUCGGCCGAUGUGAGUUCCUUGUUGUUUAUUAAGGGGAUCGUAUGAUUACGGAUACAAGAUUUUUUUUCUGGUAAACCAUCAAGCUACCAUAAUUGUUUUCUGGAUAGGGUACAAUUAAUAGAAUGAGUCCGAGUUUAAUUCUGCAGCCAAAGUUGGCUUUUUUUCUUUACUCAAAACAUGUGGUUUCUAUUUAGGGGAUGUACUCCUGACCUUUUUUUUGGUCUCCGCAACCAAGUAAUGUUGUGGUACCUAUUCAAUCGGAGUAAUUGUUCCCCAUUUCCAUGUUGUGUGGUUUCCAUUUAAAUCUUUUUUUUUCAUUUGUGUGUGUCGAAUCAAAUUCCCCGAAAAAAACAUUAUUUAUGUUGAAAUGCCUGUUAUGAUGUUUACCAUAAUCUGCGACUUUGGGCCUACUGUUUCGAUCCAAGUUACCCCUUGGGUAUGUAGUCUCUGCUUUGGCAUCUUGAGUUCCAUCGAUGAAGAAUGUACUAACUCCAUAUAGAUGGGUCAGAUACGUGUUUGCUUUUGUUUUACUUGAGCACUCGAAUAGGAUGUGGAGAUGCUACAGUAGGAUUUCCUCUCGGAGCUCCACCAUUUCGAUACCUCUGGAGCACUUGUCAUCGAUGUGGAGCUCCACCAUUUAGGAUGUGGUGGUGGUGAUUUUGCUACAUGAGACAUCUGAUUUUUUUUUCUUCUGAAUGUUGAAUGCUGCUGUCGAAUCUGAAUGAUGUUUAAUGGCAUUGUUUGGUGGUCAUUUAUUUGGUUGGUUAUGUGAUGUCUUGAUUAACCCUGUCCCCUUGAGGACUUACAGAUUAAUAGUACAUUUGCUGCCUUAUCACCUUCGUUCUAACCUAUUUUUGUAUUUUGUUUAUAGUGUAAACAUGAAUCUGACAUUAUCAUUUGUAGGAUGAUGUUAGGCUGUUGUGAAUAUUGGUAAGUCAGAGUGAUUAUUUAGUAUAUCCUUCAACACUUUUUUGGUUAUGAACUUGAUCAUGCAUAGGGAAGGUGUUUCUAACCUCUCAGUUAUGUAGAACUGGAAAGCAAGAGCUGAUACACGAGAAAAACUGCAGCUUGCCUCCAGUUUUGCGUGCUGAUUCUGAUUAAUAUUUGCAAGAUGAACCUUAUCCGAAAGAAAUCCAAGCUACUUAUCUGUUCAAUUUGGAGUGGGGUGGAUUUACCAAUGAGCAGAGGAAGGGCAGAAGCGCACCCGCCAAGAAUUUUAGGAAUGACAUAGUUUGGGGCCUCUGGGCAUGUAUUGCUUGGAGCAUUUCUUCUUUCAUUUCCAUCUGCCUUUUCUGUUCUUUGUAUAUUUUGUUUCUUUUGUGCUAUGUAUAGUAAAAUUAAUUUUAUUUGAUUUGUUAAUAAGAAUGUAUGAAAAGUUUGGAAGGAAUAAUGUGAUAUACAAUGUGGUUGUAAAUCUAUUUUAUAUGAGUGCCUAUUUGUAUAUAAAAAAUGGUUAUUUUUUUCUAGUUUCUGGAGCCUUUAUGGUACACUUGAAAUUCUACUUGACAUUAUCACAGGUCAUUUUGCGUUGUUAGGUUCCAUGUAGCUGACUUUUGAUAAUUUCCCUUGUCAGUUUGUAUCUAGUACUAUCGUUGUGGGAGAUAAGGACACUUUCAAGUGCCAAUAUCUGUAUUCCGUAGUGUAUUUACCAGCAGUUUACCUGUCAAGGGAUGUAUACCUUAUAGCGCAUUUGCUUGUCAAUCAAGGAAGAAUAAUUUGGACUGCAUAUAUUUCACAAUGUAAAUAUCUCAUAAAAAUAGUGUUUCUUCCAUAUGUUUUGUGUGACUUUUCAGUUGUAUGAAUUGAUUGAAAUUCUGAAUCCUUGUGUUGUUUCAUCUUGCUGUCCAUCGAUGUGUUCAUUCAGAAAUGUGUUUUUCUAUCCAUGUAUAUUGAAUAUGGAAUGCACUUUAAUGAUUUUGGUACUUUUUUUUGUGAUAUCUUAGGCACACAAUAUAUGUAGUGCCGCAUUGGUGACAUAGCAAUAUUGGUGACCUAGCAAUAUCUUAGGCACAUAAUAUCAUGGCAAUUUAUGCUUUCAUUUGGGUCUUUAACUCUUAAUGUUAUGUGAUGCUGGAUUAUUGAUAUCGAUUUUGUUUUCCAUUUCCAGAUUAUUAAGGGCUGGCGCACCUGACUUCUUGUUUUAUGGCUCGGAAUAACCAGGGUCAUCUCCAGCUGCCAGAGAUGGAUCAUAUUCAACCCAAGAACAUCCCACACAAUGAAUCACUGCCUCUAGGUAGGUGCACUGACUCCAGUACUCUAUACUUGUGUAAAUUUAUCGAAAGUUGUGAUAAAAUAAAUAACAUUUCUUGUUCUAAUCUCAGGCCAGAAGCUUCUACUGCAUCAUGGAAGUGAUGCGCCCCUUAGAAUUGGUCAUUCUACUCAUGGGAAUAUGGGACAUAGAAUAAAUGAUCUUCCAUCUUCAAGUCGCACUGUGCAAACUCUAGGUUAUAGAGUUGGGAACCCAGGAACCUCACACGCUCCCUUUGUUCACUACCAUGCUGGAAGUUCCAGUAGCCAUUUACCAGCAGAACCUGCUGUGGAUUAUCUACAUAGGUCUGAGGAAGGCUUUGCUCCAGUGGGUUCCCAUAUAGACAACAGAAGGGCUGCAAUGAAGCGAAAAGAUCCCAGUGUACACCCUGCGGGGAUCAGUGCUACUGGUUAUUAUGUUGGAAGUUGUUCCAAUACUCAGCCAUCUAACUUUGUGCAGCCAAAUCCUGCUCCACUUGCUGAGCCCUUGCUUCAUCAAAUACCUUUAAGCAUUGACCAAAGUGGUUGGGAUGGCCAACACUUAAUUCAUCAAGAAGGAUUCCAGAGGAAUGUGAGAGCACGCCACAGUCAUAAUAUUUCAUUAGAACCCAGAUCAGCUUCAACCUACCCACUAAACAGUGCUCACAUGUCGUCAUUUGGUUCAACUGCAAGUGCUUCCUCAAGUACAUCAGUCGAAAGGAACCAAGCACCUGUUUCUCUGCCAACAAGAACUGUUCCAUCAGGUUAGUAUUUGAUGCUUAGUUAAAUAUGCUUGAUUAUCUAAUAUUGUUUUACAUGACAUGGUGGAAGCAAACUUGAUCCUUCAAAGUUUGGUUAGGAGCUGCUUUCAUGAGUUGAUUUAAAACAUGAUGCAAUACAUGUCUUUUGAGUUUGAACUGAACAAUCCAUUUCGUUUUAAUGAUAGCAGUUUCUGUUAUUGAUUAGUUUUACCAUUAUUCAUACUUACAGUGCAGAAAUUUUUAUGGUUUUGUAGGUGCACCAGGUAUCACUAGCAGGGCCCUGACAGGGAGGGCCUACUAUCCUGUGGUUGGAAGCAGCAGCCCAAGUGUUGGUGCUGUCCCAACUAUCCAUGGAUCAUCUGGCACUGCAAUAUUUGCUAAUGGUGGCUAUGCUCCUAGUACUGCUCAUACUGGAACUGUUCCUAUCUACCCUAAUGGAGCUCCUGCUACUUCAUCUGGCUCUAGAGCCAUGCCCCAUCAGAUGGUCAUUCAGAAUCAUCCACAUGCUACCUCUGCAGCAACCUCUACAUCCAUGCGUGACAGAAUUGCUGCGGCUUCUAGACAUGCAAGACAUGUAUCAGUAGGGCAUGCUAACAAUGGAAGGUACAGAAGGGCUAGGAGCUCUUACUACAGUCUUCAUCCAUUGAUGGUAGAGGCAGAGGUACAUAGCUUUUUCUUCCCUGUUUCAGUGAAAGCUGAGUUGUUGUAUAACUUGAAACUGAUAUUGCUGCUGUUUGUGUAGCGGUUCAUGAUGGACCAGUUAGUCUUUUACGAAUCAAGAGCAGCAGCUGCUGACCCCCACAGGGACAUGAGACUGGACAUUGACAACAUGAGUUAUGAGGUAAGGAGUACUGCAUUUUGCUCCUCCAACUGUCUUGCUCUGGAAAUUUGAAGAUUUCUUCUAACUAAUACUUCAUUGCCUACAGGACCUGUUGGCUUUGGGAGAAUCUAUGGGUAACGUCAGCACAGGCUUGGCUGAUGAAAAAAUUUCGAAGUGUGUGAAAGAAGUGGUCUGUUGCAGUUCUGGCCAGAUGCAAAUUGAUGAAGAUGACCAAGAUGAUGGAAGCUGCAUCAUUUGCCUGGUACAUUUUCUCAAUAUAAUUCAUGUGUAAUCUGAUACCUAAUAAGUUAAUAUUAUAUAACGUUGGACCAAAACUGUUGAAUUCUAUUUCUGACCGAUGGAUGCAUUCUGACAGGAGGGUUACAAAGACAAGGAUAUGCUGGGGAUACUGAAAUGCAGGCAUGACUUCCAUGCCGACUGCAUCAAGAAGUGGUUGCAGACGAAGAAUUCAUGCCCGGUGUGCAAAGCAGCCGCUGCUUAGGACAACACCAGAGGAGCAAAGCAACUAUUGUGCUCCUCGAUCCAUUCAUUUUAGGCUCAGAUUAAAUUAUGCCAUUUCAUUCUUUUCGUCCUGGCAGCCAUGUAAAUAAAUGCUCUAUGGUGAUUAAUUAGUUAUCUCUUGGGUUACAUUAGCCUGAAUUCUUUUGUUGUAUUGUAACAGUCUAGUUGUGAAAGCAACUAAUCAUCAAUCAAGUGGUUAAAAGCUCAUGUCCUGGUUUUCGGAUUCUCCGACACUUGAAAUCAGUUGCGAGGUACUUCUCUGGUGCCAGCCUUACCUAGGUGAAGUUGCAAUUGAUGGUGGAGUUGCUUAGGGGCAACCAUUGGUGCUUGGUAACUUCGGAUUGAAGGUGUUUUUUCCCCUAAGAGUUCCAUUGAUUAGAAGCAUUAGAAGCAUCUUACAUGGAUUACGAUGUCGUAUGCUGAAGUGAACAUCUGCAGUUGGUUGCUACAUGAGAAAAUAACGGAGAGAUUUAGAGCGUUCCUAGUCUGAUGGGCUAUAAUAUGUGAGGUCACCUAUUCUGGUUUCUAUGAAUCUUAAAGACUUUGUACUCCCUAGUCCCUACAUUCCAAAUCAUGACACAUUUUGGAUUUUUAAAAUUCAUAACUUUUGUUACGCAUCUAGAUAGAGAUUAAAAACUAUUGAAUUUAGAAAUGCCAAAAUGUCUUAUAAUUUGGGACUGAGGAAGUAAGUUGGUUGUAUCUGAAGUAUGAUGAUUGAAGUCCUGAAUGGUUGGGAUGAGCACUGUAACAGAUAUAAAUUGUGUGGGCUGGUUGGACCUGAGUCUUGAGAAUGAAGAACUGAACUUGAUGGCCUGCGACCCUGUUCUUCAUUCGCGUUUGACUACUGGAUGCGCCUGCAGACUCUGUUCUUUAUUCCCGUUUUAGACUAAUGGAUGCAGGGACUAAAAAUUAACGGAUGUCAUAUCAAAUGUUACAUAGGAUGUUAUAUAGGGUAUUCGUAUACUAAUAAAAAAAUAAAUUAUAGAUUUCGUCAGUAAUCCACAAGACGAAUUAUUUGAGUCUAAUUAAUCUACCAUUAGUAAAUAUUUACUGUAGCACCACAUUAUCAAAUCAUAGAUUAAUUAGUUAUGUAUGUGUCUAAACAUCUGAUAUGAUGGAAGCUAAAAUUUAACACACGGAACGAAGAAUUCUUCUUUGUUGUCGGCCCAAUCAGUUCUGCUUGUUUUCGGCUUCUGUAGCUGUGUUUCUUGUGUACUCUUGGUAGGAUUUUUAAUUAAGCCCUUCCAAAAAAGACCUUAGAUAGACUAAGCAUUCUUGUUUGCUUUAGACCUGAUGUGUGGUUAUGUGCGUGUAUGUACUCUACAUGGAUGCGGCACCAUGCUGAUGGAGACGGUUGGAUCGGAUGUUAGCAUCGUGGCAGGCUGAACUGCCGAAGAACACACCGGAACCCAGCCGUGCGAUGCAUUUCGAUCCUAGUCGGUUUUUUUUUUUUGUUUUGUUUCCCUGCCAAGCUGAAAGAAUCAUUGUUGAACCAAUUCCUACUCCCCCCAAGAAAUAAAACGUUAGAUGCAGAGGCUAUUCACAAUGACAGAAAUGCACCUCAGCUGCUCGUUUACUUUUGUCCCCAAAAUAUUCCCUGGCGUCAGAUCUCAUCGUUCAUGUGCUGGUUCGGUGACACCACUGGACACUGGACAGAGUGUCUUUGUGGUGAGCAACAGGGGAGCUGAGCCUUGGUAGAUCCUAACCUGCACUCAUUCAUUCAUCUAGAAAUAAUACCACUGGAUCUAGCUAAGACUAUCUCCAACAAUCGUCACCCAAAAUACAAGACUCAAUCGUCACCUAAAAUACAAGACUCAUUUGUCUUUUGGGUAGCGCUACAGGUAAAAAGUCUCAUACCUAUUUUUAGUCUUCUCCAACAACGAGACUUAAAAGACAACACUCUCUGCAAAUGGGUCUCAAGGAAAGAGGAUACCGAAAUUUAGGUUAUGCCUCUCCUAAUACUCAAAAUAGGUGUAUUCAGUUGGAGAGUAUAGGUAUCGUGUUGGGAGAUUCUUGGCCAGGAAUCGUUCCACUCAUUCACGGUUAUACAAAUUUGACUAUCAUUCUUGGCUGGAAUUCCAGGCCAAACGAACAACCCCUAAAUGAGGACUGGAUUGAUCUAGGAAGCUAUCUGAAGUUAGUUGAAAUUUUGUUUUCUUAAAAAAAAAAUCAACCAAAUGAAUUAGGCCCAGGAUUAUCCAGACAAGGAUGUGAUAGCAAAGGUUGCUACUUGCUCAAGAAGUGAACAACUGCAGAGAAAUCUUGUCCUAAGCCGAGUUACCCCCCUUGAAUGGAAGGAAACAAGAAAAAAAAAAACCCGCUACCAAUUUUCAGUCAGAACUAUAAGUCACCUUUUUUUUUCUGAGGGAAACAAGUCACCUGUUCUUGUUGUUUUUCAUGAGGGAAACAAGUCACCUGUUGUUUUGAGUUGUCUAAUAACAAACUCUACCCAAUCAUGAUUUAUGAUGGAUUAUCUAUCCCUGAUGAAAUUCAUCCGGAGGGCUAACAUCAACCGUCCUCCUCGUUCACUCAUUUGUCCCGUUCCAUGUUCCGUUAAGGCCUUGUUUAGUUCCCAAAAGUGAAAAGUUUUCGAUACUAUAGCACUUUCGUUUGUUUGUAACAAAUAUUAUCCAAUCAUGGACUAACUAGGAUCAAAAGAUUCGUCUCGUGAUUUACAACUAAACUGUGUAAUUAGUUUUUGUUUUCGUCUAUAUUUAAUGUUUCAUGCAUGUGCCACAAGAUUCGAUGUGACGGAGAAUCUUGAAAACUUUUUGGUUUUCAGGAUGAACUAAACAAGGCCUAAGCUGGCAAGCCUUUGUUUUUCAGCUAAUCAGCCCUACCAAAAACAACAGCCUAUCACUGACCCUGUCACUCCCCCACAAAGGCCACAAAUCAGCAUCAUUACCACCUUGUGAUCGUCAGAAAGAUGAGGAAAAUUUAGCCCCCUGCAAUCUGAAUUAUCUGCACUUGCUGCUGCUUGAAGCAAGCAUGGCUGUUAGGCUGUUCCACCUCGGCAGCUCACCUCACCUCACCGUUUGGUGCCCUGUAACUGUAAGACUCACCCCCACCACCUUCUCUUACAGCUCACUCUUCUCCACCCACCUCGCUGCCUAUAAGUGGCAGCGUCACAAGCCCCCUGCCUCACCGAUCCACCUGCAUUUGCAUUUCCAUUUCCAUGCACAGACUUGGCAAGUAACACGUCGCCGCCCCAUCCCAUCAGCAGCAGCAGCAGCAGUCACCAUGCAGAGACUCGCGCGCGUCCUCGUGGUGCUCGUCGUAGCCGCCGCCACGGCGUCGGCACAGGGCCCGACGGCGGCGCCAGCGACGCCCACGCCGGCAACACCCGCGGCGCCGGCGCCCAAGGCAGCGACAACGACGACGACGUCGAGCAACAUCACGGGCGUGCUGGCCAAGGGCGGGCAGUUCAACACCUUCAUCCGGCUGCUCAAGUCCACGGGGGUGGCGUCGCAGAUCGACAACCAGGUCAGCAAUGGCGGGAACGGGAUCACGGUGUUCGCGCCCACGGACAACGCCUUCACGUCGCUCCCCGCCGGCACGCUCAACUCGCUGUCGGACCAGGACAAGAACGCGCUGGUGCAGUACCACGUCGUGUCCACCGCCAUCCCCAUGUCGCAGUUCGACACCGUCAGCAACCCGCUCCGGACGCAGGCAGGGAGCGCCUCCCCCGGGGAGUACCCGCUCAACGUCACCUCCGAGGGACAGCAGGUGAACAUCACCACGGGUGUCGUCAACGCCACCGUCGCCAACUCGCUCUACUCCGAAGACAGCCUCGUCGUCUACCAGGUCGACAAGGUGCUGCUGCCGCAGAAGCUCUUCGGCGCGGCGGAAGCGCCCGCGCCCGCGCCGCUCGCGCCGGCCAAGAAGAAGGGCAAGACGCCGGCGGCCGUCGCGGACUCGCCCGAGGCGGAGGCGGAGGCGUCCCCGGACGCGACGACCGCGUCGCUCGCGCCGGCGAGGUUGACGACGGGAGGUGCCGGCCUCGCCGCGGCUCUUGCGCUCGCCGGCGUGUGGUGGGGACUGUAGGGACGGCGAUGAGGUUUACGGCCGUGACAUCCAUCAUGCAUGCCAUCUUUUUGUAUACUUUUUUUUUGCAGGUCUUGUUGGUCUUUUCGUGCCCAUUUUUGGAUGAAAUUAUUCUUCCCUGCCCUUGAAAUUGCUAGGAGUAUGUCUUGUAAUGGUUAAUGUAAUGUCGUUGUCUCAUUUUUAUGUAUUUCCACUAAAUAAAUAUGAGUUGCGUAUAUUUCAGUAUCCGGUUCUAUUUAAUUCAGUGCCUAACGCACACAAACAUGAAACCACAACUUUAUCAAAUUGGGCCUAGUUCCAUUAAAAAAAAUAAUCACUCGAACAGUAUUGAAGCAGAUACAUUCGAGAGAAACACAAUUCUUUUUACGAGAUCCUGCAAAUAAUAACUAUUACAACCUCUCUCGCUAAGAAAAAUAAAAAGAAAAGGUAGCAUUACAGCCUGUAUAAGUGUACUCCCUCUGUCCUUAAAUGUUUGUCACCACGGUUUGCGUAUCGACAACUUUGACUCGAUUUAUAAAAAAUGUUUGCAACAUUUUUAUCUCUAAAUAAAUUUAUUAUUCAAAUAUCUAUCCAAUGAUACUAAUUGUGUAUCAUAAAUAUUAUUAUUUUUUUAGUAUAUAUUUAGUUAAAGUUAUUUCUCGGGAAACGAAAACGACAAAUAUUUAGGGACGGAGGGAGUAAGAACCAAGGAACAAGACAUUCAGUUCAAUUUUGUCAAAACGCACAUCAAUCAAAUCAAGAAGGUCGCAGUGAGCUUUCCAUGCUCGAAGUCCUUGCAUGAGCAUUACAGCAACAUGGAACAGAUACCGAUUGCCCAGCUCUUCAGUUGUAUAUAUUAUUGAUUCAUUAGGGAACAUAUCCCUGUCAUCGCCACCGGUUGUUGAAGAAUGUAACAGGAUCCCCAAAUGUUGUGGUAAGCAUGUCCUUAUGUUUUCCUCCAUAUGACAGUCUACCAAGAAAACUUUCUGCAGUGAAAGUGGCAGCUUCACAAUUCCUAAUGCAGGAGAGUCUUGCGUUGGUUGGCUGAUAAGCCAUGACUUAAAGUACUGUUCGCUGAUUUAUUGUGAGAGAAAAAUACUGUUGAACAGAUAAACUCAAACGAACAACUUCGCACCAGCAGAUCAAGCAGUUGUUCCAACUGGUGGAAUUUGGGGCCUUGAGAUGCAAUCUUUGAGAUGCAGAUGUUCCAAGUUUCUGAAAAUUGCCAAUGAUGGUGAAACUUGGGGUUGGGACCAUGAUGGAAACUUGGUCCCUAGAAAACCAUGAAUAAAUGGUGGGUCAGAUUUGGUGGCGGCACAAGAGUUUCAUAAAGUGCAGUCAUAUUUCUCUGGACUUCACUUGUCCCAUGAAGUGCUUCUUCGGAUAUGCUCCUGACUAUAGUGCAGUAAGUGACAGUUCCUUUAACCUUGUCUUGUCCUUCAGAAUUACACCUGCCACUUUUACUCUUUCAUUCAAGCUUAUCGAUUCGGAGAUGCCUAAGCUGCGAGAGGCUUUGCAAUGCGUCCAGCUUGAAUCCAUUAGAACUUUCAAAAACUCCCAUGAGCAUGUCAAGACGGUGCAAUCACCCAAUUCCAUGUGGCAUCGAAGUAAUCGCAAUCUCAUUGAUGUGAAGAAACAUCAGGUUUGAUAGUCUGCGAUACUAUUAGGCAACACCCGAAGCUCACUGCAACCCAGCAACGGAAGAUACUGAAGAUUUGGAAGAUGCCCUAUUGACUUUGGGAUUCCCUGGAGUUUUGUGAAGCUGAGAUUCAGAACCCUCACAAGCACCAAAUGAAGCUGGGAUUCUCUGGUGGUAUAUCUGCCCUAACAACAACUUCUGACAAAGAAUGAGUCUGACAGACGUCUACAUUAGGAAUGCUAGUAUGCUCAUGGAUAAUUCUAUCCAACCUAAGCAUAACUCUGUCCUUCAAAAUUCUCUCAAGUCUUUUGUUAAUGUCCUUAAUUCUAUAACCAAUCUCACAGUUGAAUUGAAAGUCUCCAAGACAAAAGAAGGAUGGGGCUCUGCGGCAUACCCAUUGGUUCAGCAUAGAGGAUAGCUGCCUAUAGGAUGAUCUCUGGCUCUUGACAGAUCAGAAAUCAAUCAGAUCAUCAACAUCAUACAUGAUGUCUUUCAGCUGGUUCAGCCAGGUGUUGAUGGCACUAUCAUGGAUCCUCUUCACCUCAGCAUCAACAAUUACUCUCUUCAUGUAGUCUAAACGACAUUUGAGCACUUGAAGAUGUUGUACUACAUCAAGGGCUCUCAUCACCCUGUCUUCAAUCAGAUCAGCUAACUUACUAGUGUAUCCGGCUAUGACUGCAUCUGCGAUCAACACCAUCUUGUAUUCUUGUGUGGGGGUUAGUUGAUUCCUUCUGAGACUUGCCAACAAACAGAAGGCUCUCUGGUCUCAAUGCUAGAGAUGAAAUGAUAAUGUCAACAUGUUUAGCCUAAGCAUCGCAAAAGGCCAUAUAUGCAACACUCACAAAAUAGUAGUCUAGAAUCUAGAUUGUAGACCAGAGAUGAAGUGCAUGUUUACAAAUCCUUCUCUCGUUUUAUGCAUAGAAAAGAAGAUAAUCAUGUUCAAUUCCAAUAAAAUAUCAUUACAUGUAGCUGUAAAGUGUGUUGACAUUCAUGUCCAAUGCUAGAGAUGAAAUGAUAAAAAAUGACAUGGUGUUUCAACGAAAGCAUAUUUUUGGGUACCAUACUGUGUUUGAAAGUACUAGUACAUAACCUAUCCCGGUGAUGUAUUCAUUUGGAAACAAAAGGCAGGCAGGUUCCUUUCAAAAAAAAAAGGCAGGCAGGUUCAUCAUUGCAUCACCAUAUAUAUCUGGGUCCCUAGAGCUGAACAAGUUGCAGAGGAGGUGAGAUUGUAUUAUCUGCGACUGGUGCAGUGAGAUUUGGGGGGCAAAAUACAUAAACUAGCCAGCAGUAGUCUCCCAAGCAGACACACCAUUUAGUAUCAAUAGUUUUGCUUUGAGGAUGCAACAACUAGUGAUGAAGACUUUGUCCACUGCACGCGGCAACAAGAACACGAGAUGUUCCACUGGCAGUAGGAUGGAGCAGGAAACAUGGGUGAAGAACUGAAGAAUUUAUACGUACGCACCAUUCAUGACAUCCGUGCAUCCCUGUAGAAGAGCAUCUCUCGCCGUCAUUCCAUCGAACACCUUUCAUCCCUGCAGAAGAAGGCAGGCAUACACAGGCUGACAGGCAGAUUGGCUGAAGCAAAGAGGAGCGAAUCUGCGAAUGAAACGAAACUAGCAGAAGUGGGAGAAAACGAAGAGGGAUACAUGAAUUCCUUUGACCUGACCCUGGCUGGCAGGCGCCAGAUCGGUAGCCACUCGCCAGCGCGUGGUGUUGGCCCAGGAGCAAGACAAGAACCCUGAAGGCUAUUCACUAUUGUCCAUGGCAGAGGAGAUUAGGGCCUUACCCAUCCUAAUGAAUAGUGAUGACGCGAUCGCGGCAAGAGGGAGGGAGAAAACAAAAAUAAAUACUCCAUCCGUCUGAAAAUAGAAAUGGCGGUUUGACUUAGCGUGGAAAUUCUUCAACCCUUGUUUAGCUCCAAAAACUUUUACAAGAUAUACAUUGUAGCACUUUCGUUUAUAUUCGAUAAAUAUUAUCAAAUUAUGAAUUAACUAGACUCAAAAUAUCCGUCUCGUAAAUUAUAGGUAAACUGUGUAAUUAGUUAUUUUUUAUUUAUAUUUAAUGUUUUAUGCAUGUGCCGCAAGAUUCGAUGCUGAAAAACUUUACAAAUUUUUUGGAAACUAAACAAGGCCUAAACUCUCGAAAGUCAAGACUCCUUUUAAUGACCUAGCUACUUUGUCAUGUGACUGAAAAGUAAAUGGCCUCCCUAUUGAUAUUUGUCCUCCACUCAAAAAGUUGCCUUGUUUAGUUCCUAAAAAUUUUGCAAAAUUUUUCAGAUUUCCUGUCACAUCGAAUCUUUAGACGUAUGCAUGAAGUAUUAAAUAUAGAUAAAAAUAAAAACUAAUUGCACAGUUUGGUCGGAAUUGACGAGACGAAUCUUUUGAGCCUAGUUAGUCUAUAAUUGGACAAUAUUUGUCAAAUACAAACGAAAACAUUACUAUUCAUAUUUUGUAAAAUUUUUUGGAACUAAACAAGGCCUCGGUCACUAAGUGGUGCCACACCCAUAACCCAUCGGUUCAGCAUACUACAUCCUUCUCAAACUCUAAAAUCGUAAAUUAACCUUCCUGCACAGGUUCAAAUUAGUUUUGAAAACGGUUUCAUCCUUUUUAAUUAAAAAAUUAUAAAUACUUGACAAUGAGAUCUUUAAAUCGCAUAAAACGUCUCCAAGUUUCUAAAAAAAUUGACUAAAAUUCUAGAGAUAGACUGGGAUAUGAAAAAUAUAAUAAAAUACAAGUUCACGUGAAAAUAAUUUGAGAAGAUUUCAGAAACUAGAUUUAGCUUUAAAGGCCAAAAAAUCUAAAAAACUAGAAAAAUCCAAAACAUUCUAAUUCAUGUUUGAAAACUUUUCACAUCAAAAAACAUAAGGCACAGCCAUUAGGAAUGCAUGGCCCAAAUGCAUUCAGCACUAAGGUAUGUAGCGUCAUGCCGGUUGCAUCUAUCUUUUUUUUUGCUAUGAAAAUUUUUAAAACACAUUUAGUUAAUGACUCGAAUUUUUUGGGAGAUCUUUUUUUGGGAUAUUUUUUUCCUUUUUCUUAGAGUAAUUUUGUCAAGCUUCUAUACAUUUUUUUUUUGAAAACGUGCACCGCACGUACCUCAUUAAGAGAAGAAGGAAUGAUCAGUUACAUCCCGGCAUUCCCUAUGGCGAGAUGUCUAAGGAUACGCCGGAAACACACUUACACACAAGGCGCCGGCUUCUAUACAUAUUUUACGGUGCUAAAUAUUUAACUUAGGUUUUUUUUUCAUAUCCCAAUCCAUCUGUAAGAUUUUCUUUGAAAGUUUAAAUAUUUUUCAUGGAUCCAAAAUCUUAUCAACUAUUUAUCAUAUCUCUACAUUAACUAAAAAGAAUAAACCGUCUUGAAAACCACUUCAUUUGAGAGCAGAGAGGUUAUUUGAACAGUUUGAAUAGUUUAGAAUUUAGCUGGCGGGGGGGGGGUGGUAACAGAUCACGACAAAAUUAGAGAAAUAAAAUGAUUUUUAUUACAUGUGGGUCUUCUUUUUCUUUUGAUGAGGUUGGAGUGGAGCAGAGUGAAAUUACGAUAGCAGGCCCCGCUCCCUCCUGCCCACCGGACGAACCUUUUUCUUUCUUUUGGGACGGCAAAAAUACAUCGGGAGCACUGCAGUCUGCCUCGUACCGUAGGAGGAGUGUGUGUGCACUGCACUGCCUCCGCAAUCCGCAUUGUCGGAAAGCACCCAUUGCGGCAAAAACUGUUUUGCCCUCGUUCGGGAUUUCCGAAGCGCAUUGCGUCGUCGUCACGCGGUCACUCACGCCCGCCCCUGGUCUUGUGAGUUUUGUCACCUCCCGCUACCACCCACCUGCACCCACGGCUCAACCUAAUUUUCUCUAACGUCAUUAUAGAAGUAGGCCUUGUUUAGUUCCUAAAUAAUUUUACAAAAAUUUUCAGAUUUUUCGUCACAUCAAAUCUUGCGAUACAUGUAUGAAGUAUUAAAUAUAGAUAAAAGAAAUAAUUAAUUGCACAGUUUACCUGUAAUUUGUGAAAUGAAUUUUUUGAGCCUAGUUAGUCCAUGAUUAGACAAUAUUUGUUAAAUACAAACGAAAGUGCUACAGUAUCCAUUUUGUAAAAAAAUUUGAUACUAAACAAUGUUGUAGCAGUAGAAGUUUUAAAACAGAAAAAGUAUAGAAAAUUAUGAAAAAAAAGAAGGGAGGGAAAUAAUAUAAACAAUAAUCCCAAAAGUUCUCGAUAAUCGAGUAAUCGUACGCAUAAACAAAUGCUGAAAAGUCAUAGCUGAAAAUAUUAUUUGCUAAUUUAUUGUUAGAGAAAAAUAUUGCUGAAUGUACGGUGAAUUUGACGAAUAAUUUUAAACGAAUGGGCAAAAGACCAGACCGAAGAGAAUAAGGACAGACAUGGGAGGGGGAUCACCUGAUGAUCCACCAAUGGUUUUGUUGGUUUCUGCCGCGGGCUAUGCCCCCUCACGUGCCAAACGAUAGGCCAAUCGCAGAGCAGUAUUCAACUGCUGCAUGCAGCUGCUGGUUUUGCUUCCUGUUGUUUCCCAUGUUCCUUCGGUCUCAAGGAAGGAAACCAAACCACCCUUUCAAGUGCACUUCACCUGCGCCUGCGAGUGGACUCUCUUCAGUUCCUCUAUGUUUUUUUUUUCUUUAGGGCCUGUUUGAAACAAAGGCCUUGUUUAGUUCCCAAAAAAAUUUGCAAAAUUUUUCAGAUUUUCCGUCACAUCGAAUCUUUAGAUGCAUGCAUGGAGUAUUAAAUAUAGAUGAAAAUAAAAACUAAUUGCACAGUUUGGUCGAAAUAGACGAGACGAAUCUUUUGAGCCUAAUUAGUCCAUAAUUGGACAAUUUUUGUCAAAUACAAACGAAAACGCUACAGUGUCGAUUUUGCAAAAAAUUUUGGAACUAAACAAGGCCAAAGGAAUGGAAAACAGAGGAAAGAAAUAAAAUAUAGGAAAUAGGUAAGAGUGAAAUGGCAAAACAGAGGAAUAGAAAAACACAGGAAACAAUCAAAAAAAGGUGUUUGGAACACAGAAAUAAAAAAGAGAGGAAUAAAAAUAGCACAUGCAGAAAAUAUAGAUGUAUUAUUUAGUAAGAAAGCACACAUAGUUUAACGAUCUCCUGCUGACGGGACUCGUGCUUAGUAGAUUGGUUAGCUUGGUGUCAUUUUGCUUUUAUCGUAAUUAAGUUGUGUCUGAUAAAAGACCUCCACACGUUGCAUCCAUCCACCUGCUCCAGCUCCAGCACCUCGCCUGGGGCUGGGCGCCCUUGUUCUACCACCGCCGCAUAGCAUCCCACCGCCCAAGAGAAGCAGACGCGCACGACGUGCUUGUAGCAUGAUGUCGUUCGUGCUUAUAGGCAGCCUAUGAAGAGGAAGAAUGCAGGGCAAAAGAUUGGCUUGUGCGCUAAGCGUGGCCGCGAGCACCGCAGAAAAUUUUCCCUUGGCUCUGAGCUCAUUCUUUCAUUCCUCCAAAAGUACUACCUUUGUUGCCGUUCCUCUGGAAAGAUUUGUCCGAGUUCCUCUAUUCCAAACACGCAUAUAGGAUUCAUUUCCCCUGUAACUCAAUCAUCCACUUUUUCUACGUUUUUCCUCUGUCCCAAACGAGGCCUAAUUUGAUCAGGUCGGUUCCUGGUUCCUCGAUGUUACUAUUCACUCUGUCCUAAUAAUUCGACAAUAUAUAUAUAUAUAUAUAUAUAUAAACAAUAUUAAUAUUCCGUAUCACAUACUAUACUAAAUUAAACACUAUUAAAUUCAAGUCACUCCAACCAACAACUUCAUCAUACGUACACCAAGGGCUUGUUUGGUAUAGCUCAACUUCACUAGUAAAGCUGUUUUUUUAGAAAAUAGUUUCAUGAGUGACUUUCUAGAUGAAGCUGAGCUGUUUUGGAGAAAGUGUUUCGCAAAAUAGCUUCACCAACUACUUUAUGCAUAGUUGAGAGAGAGAAAUGAGGGAGAAGCUACAAUAAGCUACUUUUUUCCAGCUUCAUCCAACUUAUGUCUUUGUGAGAGGAGGAGAAAAACAGCUUUACCCAUGAAGCUGUUUUGGAAAUAAGUAUUUGACAAAAAAAAACACCACGCCCCAAGUUGGUGGUGAUUUUAUACGGACGUCGGGUCGCUUACAUGUGGGGUCCUCCUCCUCGAAACCCAUCGAGUUCCGAGCCAACGUGACGACCUGACGAGUAAUCGUGAUCCAGAGCCUAGCCAAAGGAUAGCUUUUGGUGCAUGCACGUCAUGGCCUCAUGGGCUCUCAUCCGCUCAUGCCCGUGGCCCGGGGAAGACGCCGCCGUACCGGGAAAUGGGCACGGCAGCUCCGGCUUAAACUACUCGCCAUCCACUUGGUUGCCGGCUGUACGCCUCUAUCUGUCUCUAUAACUGACGGCGCGAGUUGCGAACAAGGCCGUGAGAAAAGAGAUGACUUCACCUUUGUUUUUUCACCUAGGUCGUGUUUAGUUGUAAAUUUUUUUUAAAUUUUGACAUUGUAGCAUUUUCGGUUGUAUUUAAUAAUUAUUAUCUAACUAUAAAUUAUCUAGGUUCAAAAGAUUUGUUUCGUAAAUUACAGAUAAACUGUACAAUUAGUUUUUGUUUUCGUCUAUAUUUAUUGCUCCAUGCAUGUGCCAUAAGAUUUGAUGUGAUGAGAAAUCUAAUAAAAAAAAAUUGGGUGAACGCCUUGUUUAGAUGUGAAAAGAUUUUGAAUUUCGUUGUUGUAGCAUUUUCGUUUGUUUGUGACAAAUAUUAUCCAAUUGUAGACUAACUAAGAUCAAAAUAUUCGUCUCGUGAUUUACAGAUAAACUGUGCAAUUAGUUUUUAUUUUUGUCUAUAUUUAAUGCUUUAUGUAUGUGUCGAAAAAUUCGAUGUGACGGAGAAUCUUGAAAACUUUUUGGUUUUGGGUGAACUAAACAACGCCUAAACAAGGCCACAGUACGAUGAUGACGUGAUGAGUACGAGUCCAAACUGAUGAGAUAAAAGUACAACAUAUGUAGAGAUCAUACUCGUUCCAUGCCGAAUUACAAGUCAUUUUAAUUUUUUUAGAGAGUAAAAACUUUUCAAGUUUAAUCAAAAUUAUUUAAAAAAUUAGAAAAAUUUGAGACAUCGAAUAGGUAUACUAUGAAGAUGUAAUUAAUGAAUAGUUUUAAUAAUACUUAUUUGGUAUAUUAUUUUAUUAUAUAAAUUUGAUCAAACUUAAGAUACUUUGACUCUUUAAAAAUUAGAAUGACUUAUAACUUAAUAUGAAGGAGUAUUAUGCUGCAUUUUUUAUAAGAAAAAUCACUAUGUUGUUUUUUAGAAAAAACAAAGUUACUCUGAUGCAAGCUUGUCUUAUGUCUGGAUAAUUCACUAAACUAACAUUUAGUUUGAUUUUUCAUUCAGUCUAAUGGACCCUUCUACAAGUUUUGUUAUAUCUAUUUCUUCAUGUGCAAGCUGAGUUUUAACUUUAAAUUUUGUAAGGUGAUAGAGAACACUAUAACUUUUUGAUAAACACAUUAUGAAUUUUCAUGAUUAUGUUUCAUAUAUAGUUUUAAACUUCUGGUAUUAAUUUACUAUUAGAUGUCCUAGCAUGCCAAAAUAAUAACUAAUAAUAUAUAUUUUAAACAUGAAUUACGAUAUUAGCUGACACAUCACAAAAUUUAAAUUUUAAAAUCGACUUGUAUGUGGAGAAACAAAAGGAAAAUCCCUCAUCAGUAAUGCAACUAUUUUUAUCAACAAAAGGAGGAAGUUCAAUAUUAUUUUGACCCCCUAAAAAAUGAAGAAUGGAACUAUAGCUAUAAGCAAAGAGGUUUGGUAAAUGAAACUACCGAAAAUCAACUUCACACGGCCAUUCUCACCAAACAAGUUAGCAUAACAAAACUAGAAUUAGGAGUAAAAAGUCUUUCCUUUUGCAGUUUCAACAAAAUAAUUAAACGUUACCUUUCUAUAUGCGUAUAACAAUUGAUAACCGAUAUAUUUUCAUUUGACCAUUGGAUGUUGCGGGAGGGGUCUAAUAUUUCAUGACAAAUGUUGACUUCAAGUGGUUUUUGUUAUGUGGGAUUCUCACUUGGUAGUGACGAUGAUGUAGGUUUUGACAAAGAGAAAUAUGAGAAAAUAAGCCUACAUGGAACAACUAUAAUCUCUAUCAGAUACUUUAAGGUUGUUUUCUCACAAUCACAUAGAGAUUAUGGGCGUGAUUGGUACCCUAAAUGCGCCCCAUGCUAGCUCCUCUGAUGCACUUUCCCCGCGCUUGGUUUCUUGUUGCUUUGGGCCUAUCUCGGCUGAUGCAAAAGCUCCCUUGUGGCUUGACUCGCCAGAAACGCAACAGGGCUUCGUUUCCUCGCAGCCUGGCUAGCACCGUACGUCAGGCGCAAGUAGGUUGCACGCGUGAGAGAGCUAGCAUACACGUGAACUGCCCAACCGCUCACCAGCUAUCUAUAUCCUGGUUGAACACAGAUAUCAACCAAACAAAUACCCAUGCACGCAUUGGACGAUAAGAGUUUGGUGCUAUAGGUAUAAGCCAGGCUUGGCUACGCAAGGAACCAAAUGCGCCGUAUGAGGGCAAGAGCUCCUGGUGGCGUCUCUAAGGAAUUCUGACAUAUUACAUGACUCGGCUUUUCAAAAGACAGUGCCACAUCAUCAUAAUAGAUUUUGACAUCCACUUGUUUUGACAAUUUCUGUUGAUUUCAAACAUAUUUUGAUGUAGAACCAAUGCCAUCACAAAAGGGGGUCAUUCUCACCAAAUAAGUUAGCAUGACAAAACUAGAAUAUAGGAGUAAAAAGUGUUUCCUUUUGCAGCUUCAACAAAAUAACUACACGUCACCUUUGUAUAUGCAUAUAAUUGAUAAACAAGAUAUUUUUAUUUAACCAUCGGAUGUUGCGGGAGGGGUCUAAUAUUUCAUUGCAAAUGUUGACUUCAAGUAGUUUCUAUUAUGUGGGACUUCUGAGUUGGCAGUGAUGAUGUAGUUUUUGACAAAAGAAAUAUGAGAAGUUAAGCCUACCUCAACUUGCUGUGGUGGAAAUAAGUUAGAUCAUGCAUUAUACCACUCAGAUUCAGUAAUCUUAAAAUCCAUUUUCAGUGUUGUUUUUUUUUGCUCAAUGAAAAAAAAUCCUAGAUACUUGUAGGUUAUUUUCUUAAUGCAGGUCUCAUUGGAGACUAUAUGAGCGUAAUUGUUAUCUUGAAUGCACCCUCGACCCAUCUCCUCUAAUGCUCUUUCCUCGUGUUUGGUUUUCUGCAUGCUACUUUGGACUUGUCUCAGCUGACGCAAAAGCUCCCUCCCAGCCUGGCUCGCUAGAAACACAAUGAGGAGUCGUUUCCCGCGGCUUGGCUGAUGUUGUGGUCGGCAUCCAGGUUGGACUCGUGAGAGAGCAGGCGUGCAUGUGAACUGCCCAACCGAUCACCAGUUGUCUAUAUUCUGACUCUAAACACAGAUAAACACCCUUGCAUGCGUCGAUCUUGGCUGGAAAGGGCCUGGUGUUGUAGGUACGAACCAAGCUUGGCUACGCAAGGAACCAAAUGCGCCGUAUGAGACCAAGGACCCCGGUGACGUCUCUAAGAAAUUGUGACACACUACAUGACUUGGCUUCCUAAUAAAAGACAGUGGCACAUCACCAUAAUUUUGGACAUCCACUUAUUUCAAUAAUUUUUGUCAAUAAUUUUUGACGUGGAACUAAUGUCAUCGUAAAGCUUGUCUCUUUGGGCCCUGUUGUUGAGUGCCAAGCCACCACACGCCACGCAAGAUGUGGCGUGACCAUGCAUAGAAGCUAUGGCGUCAUGUGGCGAGGAAAGUGGCCGCCAAACCUAUGGCGAAACCCAACACACAAAUACUAUGUGCCUAUCUCAACGUACACGCAGCCCAAACAUCGGCCAACCUAUCGUGUCAGCCACGAGUGUGGUGUUUCGAAUGUUUGCGGGGAACCGAACAACUUCUUUAUCUACUAUAUACAGUAGAAAUGAUUAUAACUAUUUUUUCUAUAUAAUAUAUCUAUAAAAAAAUUAUAUACUGACGGAGCGUAUUUACUCUAGCUCAACCUGCAGUACUAGCAAAUUAUUUUUUUUUUUUGAAAGAGUCAGUACUAGCAAAUUAUGUCAUCCUGAAACUUGAGAAGCCCACAGCCCCCAGACCCAGGGGUGAUGCACCCAGGCACGGACCAAGAAGCUAACGACGUCGCAGAUAAAGAUUGCGUGGGUCCCACUCGAUGGCCAUGCUUACAUGGAGCGUUGCCGACCACAAAACUUUUCUCAAGUAUAAUACAUGGUUUUCUAUAGGAAAAUAAUUUUGAAAAAAAUGUCAAAAAAGUAUAAAAAAAGAGAGUAAAACCGAGAGAAAAGAGCGCCGGGCCCCACGCAAUGGCCGACAUGGACCACCUUUAUAACGGGCCCCGCCCACCGCCAACCAAGCCACAACGCCCACCGCCAGCCAGCAGCAGAGCAGAGCAGCCCCAGCCCAGCACCCCCACAGGCCACAGCACAUCGAUCGCCAUGCCCGCCACCUUCCCGCCGCCGCCGCCGCCGCCGCCUCCCUCUCACAACCUUCCUCCGCUGCUGUCUUCCAACGAGUCCUUCUCCAAGUUCUUCGAGUCCUGGAUCGGCGAGCAGUCCCGCGACCUGGAGGAGCUCCGCGCCGCGGCGUCCGCGGAGCCGGCCGCCCCCGAGGCCGACCUCCGCCGCCUCGUCGACCAGGUGAUGGGCCACUACGCGCAGUACUACAGCACCAAGGCCGCGGCCGCGGCCGGCGACGUGAGCAUGAUGUUCACCCCGUCCUGGACCUCCACCACCGAGAACCUCUACCUCUGGUGCGGCGGGUGGCGCCCCACCGCCGCGAUCCAGCUGCUGUACACCAAGUGCGGGAUGCAGCUCGAGCACCGGCUCCCCGUCUUCCUCGACGGCGGCGGCCUCAAUAAGGACGACCUCAGCGACCUCAGCGUCGCGCAGCUCCGGGCCGCCGACCAGCUGCAGCACCGCACCAUCAGCAGGGAGCGCGAGAUCGAGGAGGUCGCCGCGACCGCACAGGUGAGUGAGUAAAAAUAAAAAAAAUCAGCGGCACUUUUUUUCUUCCAGAAAUGAAAUAUCCAGUGAGGUCAACGAGGGCCGCAUGUGCAGGAGGCGCUGACGUCGAAGACGAUGGUGGAGCUCGCGGGCGGCGGCGGCGGCGGCGGCGGCGGGAUGGACGCGGGGGCGAUGGACCGGGAGAUGCAGACGAAGGCGGAGGGGAUGAGGCAGGUGCUGGAGAUGGCGGACGGGCUGCGGCUCGAGACGAUGCGCGAGGUGGUGGCGCUGCUCCGCCCCGCGCAGGCCGUGCACUUCCUCCUCGCCGCCGCCGAGCUCCACCUCGCCGUGCAUGACUUCGGGCGCCGCAAGGACGGGCACGCCGGCAACGCCGCCGCCGCCGCCGCCGCGCCGCCGGAGUGACGCUGACGCGCCUGGCUGCUCUGCUUUGCGUGUAUCGUGUAAUGGCUCCCCUGUUCCAAGCGGCGCAUGGCUGCGCGCCUUCGCGCGUUCGUAGCCGUGACGCCGCGCUUGUCGCCUAGCUACCCAUAAAGGCUGCUGGCUUGGUCAGCACGAGCUGUCGCGAUAAGCUUUUGAACAUUUUGUUCCUCUAGCUGUUUUGAACAUGUCGAUUUUGUAAAAUAUUUUAGAACUAAACAAAGCCUUACUCUGCCUCAAGGUGUUGCCAGUGUGUGCACUGUGCAGUCGUGCCAUGUCUGUCUUUAGAGUAAAAAUGUGCUCUUGUUAGGUCUUGUUUAGAUUCAUCUAAAAACCAAAAACUUUACAAAAUUUUCGAUCACAUUGAAUAUAGAUAAAAAAGAUAACUAAUUCCACAGUUUACCUGUAAAUCACGAUACGAAUCUUUUAAGCCUAGUUACUCUAGAUUAGACAAUGUUUGUCAAAUAAAAACGAAAGUGCUACCGUGUCAAAAUUCAAAAAGUUUUUGAAUCUAAACAAGACCUAAACAAGGGCCUAGUAUCAUUUGGGGGCGAAAUGUCGGAUUGAGAAAGAAAAGAUGGAGUAAUAGAGCUUUUAGGCUGUGUAGCCGUUUUUUUGUGGCAGCCAAAACAAGCGAAGAAUCCUGCCAAAUGCCCCGUGGUGUGAGAGAUUCUUUUCGCCACACACGACAUCUGCACCAAGAAAAUGAACCAGAAGCCACGUUUUCUGCACCGCGAAAAUGAACCGAAAGCCACCUUUCCAAGGACGAUCACGAACUCACGAUACACAUAUCGCACGACGGUUGCCACUAGCUUUUACUAGUAGAGAGAGAAAUAGAUACGAAAUUGCCACUUUUGCUUAAGGCGGGACCUCACACCAGCGUAGAUCUGAGUCACCAGCCCCAUGUGAAAUGAUUGGCCUGCCCUUGGCGUCUUUCUAUUUCCCUUGCGCAACCUACUCACCUCUCCUAUCCUCUUCUUUCUCUACUCCGCACGAUCCAGGUCUUGCUUGCCUGCCAUCGUCAUCGACAACAUCGCUCCCCAGAGCCAUCUCUUAGGACCACUAUCGCGAUGGAGUAAAUGUAUGUGGAUGCAUCUAACCCUUUCCACGAUCUGCCUUGCCCCCGAAGGGAGUAGAAAGACACCAGGGGAAGGGUUGGAUUUGUGUUGGCGUGAGUGUUGGUGUGUGACUUACAUGAGUAAAAGUGGCAAUUUUGUGUCGUGUUUCUCUCUACUAGCAAAAGUGUAGCGGCAACUGUAAGAGUGUCAUCUCACGCCACUAUCACAAUGGAGUAAACAUAUGUGGCUACAUCUAACCCUUUCCGCGGUCUACUAUGCCUCGGGGGAGUAGAAAGACGCUAGGAGUAGGGUUGGAUACUUGGAUCUAUGUUGGCGUGCUUCGUGAGAAAAAGUGGCAAAUUUGUAUCGUGUUUCUCUCUCUGCUGGGAAAAGUGUAGUGGUAAUCGUAAGAGUGCUAUCUCACGCCACUAUCACGAUGGAGUAAAGGUAUGUGGUUGCAUCCAACCCUUUCCGCGGUUGGCAUUCAACCCUUUCUGCGGUUGCCCUGCCCCAGGGGGAUUAGAAAAGACGUUAGGGGGUAGGGUCGGAUCCGUGUUGGCAUGCGACAUGAGCAAAAGUGGCAAUUCAUAUCGUGUUUCUCUCUAUGUUGGCAAAAGCAUAGCGACAACCAUAAGAGUGCUAUGUCAUAUCACUAUCACGAUGGAGUAAACAUAUGUGGCUCCAUCAACUCUUUCCGCAGUUGGCAUCCAACCCUUUCUGUGGUUCGCCCUGCCCCAAGGGGAGUAGAAAGACACUAGGGGCAAGGUUGGAUUUGUGCUGGCGAGAGGUGCUGGCGUGCAAUGUGAGCAAAAGUAGUAAUUUCGUAUCGUGUUUCUCUCUCGAUCUACUUUUGCCUAGUGGCAACAAUAAGAGUGCUAUCUCACGCUAUUCGAUAUAAUGGUAAAAAAAUAAUUCUCGUGGUAUUGAGUAGUAGAGUUGUUAUAUUUCAAUAAGGUUCUGCUAUGCUGGAGUAGUGAAAUGAAAAUAAUCUGGCUUGACUUCACCGUGACGGUGGAAAAGUGGUUAGAGUGACUUAGGUGUCAUGUUUACAGGAAUCCUUGUUUCAAAUUAGGGAUAAUAAAGCUCUAGUAAUUGUUUCCUUGAAGUUCUAUUGUGUUUUCUAAACCACUCGAUCAUCCCAUCAUGUUCUGUAGUGAAGGAAUGUCUUCUAUUAUGAUCUCAAUAUAUCAAACCACUCAAUAUAUCAUGUUCUGUAGUGAAAAUUUUUAGGUUUGGCUACUAUAGCACUUUCGUUUGUACUUGACAAUUAUUAUUCAGUCAUGGACUAACUAGUCUCAAAAGAUUCAUCUCACAAAUUAUAAGUAAACUGUACAAUUAGUUAUUUUUUAAUUUAUAUUUAAUGUUCCAUGCAUGUGUCAUAAGAUUCGAUGUGAUAGGGAAUCUUGAAAAGUUUUUUAUUUUUGGAGUGAAUUUAGUUCACUCAAAAAAUAAAAAAAAAUUCAAAAUUCCCAUCGCAUCGAAUCUUGCGACAUACUCUCUCCAUCCCUUUUUAAGUGUCGUUUGCGCUUCAAAAAACAACUACCGGUAAUUAUAUAUUAAAAAAUAUUAAUAUUUAUAAUACAUAAUUAGUAUCAUUAGAAAGAUCUUUGAAUAUAGUUUUUUUUAACAAUAUUUAGAGAUACAAAUGUUGCAUGUAUUUUCUACAAAUCGAUUCAAAUUUAUGGCACGUACACCAACGACGACAAUUAAAAAGGGAGAGAGGGAGAUGCAUAAAGUAUUAAAUAUAGAUAAAAACAAAAACUAAUUGUACAGUUUGCCUAAUUGCGAGACGAAUUUUUUAAACCUAGUUACUCUAUGAUUGGACAAUGUUUGUCAAACAAAAGCUACAAUUGCAAAUGUGUAUAUUUCGAAAAAGAAAAUCGUGACCAAAAGUAGGAAAACAAAUUCACCUCGGCCCAGGUUCACUGUGGGCUCCGUGCUCAGAGCCCACAAAUAUCCGCGCCGAUUUUAGAAAAAAAAGCAGAAGGAAGAUAUCGUGGAUCUACCUGCAAAAGGCCACUCCUCACAUUUCACGCGCGCACCACCACCGCCGUCUCCGGCCACGACCACGCCGCCGGCCAUGCCGUCCUCCUACGCCGCCGCCGCUGCCGGAUCCUCUUCCCGCAAGCCGAAUCGCACCUCCAACGCUGCCGCAUCCACUGCUCGCCCACCAGCACCCUCACCGUCGCGGGCACCCGCUGCCCCGGCGGUGAACCCUAGCGUCAUCUCCGAUUCCGACCCCUCCUCCUACUCAUCUUCCUCGGCGGACGAGGCCGAUCUCACCGCCUCCGACUCCGCAACUGCCUCUGUUGUUUCCGCCUACCUCUCGGUUGCUGGUGAGGGGGCCGACCUCUCGAAAGUUGGCAUUUUCCUUUCCUCCGCCGCGCGCCGCCGAUCGCCGCCGUGCCUGAUCUGCUUCGAUCCUAUCCGCCCCUCUGACCCAGUCUGGUCAUGCUCCUCCUCCUGCUUUGCCAUCCUCCACCUCCCCUGCAUCCAGUCAUGGGCUCACCAGUCAGCAUCCGGCGCCGCCGUGCCGUGCCCAACCUGGGGAUGCCCCAAGUGCCGCUUCGCCUACCCCAAGUCCGAGACCCCAUCCUCCUACGUCUGCUUCUGCACCAAAACAGUAGACCCGGCUCCGGACCCCUGGAUCCUCCCCCACUCUUGCGGCGACGUCUGUGGCCGCCGUCUUGAUGCCAAUCUCGACUCUGGAUGUGAGCAUACCUGCCUACUGCUGUGCCACCCAGGGCCGUGCCCGCCAUGCCCGGCCGUUGUUCCUAAUGCGCGGUGCUUCUGUGGAGCGCACAGGGAGCCUCGACGCUGUGCACAUCAGCGUUACUCUUGUGGGCGAAAAUGUAACAAACGUCUUAGCUGUGGACUCCACCGCUGUCCAGUGGAUUGUCAUGAUGGCCCCUGCCCGCCGUGUGCAGUGCAGGGGAGUCACAAAUGUGAGUGUGGAGAGACAAUGGAGGAGAAAUUGUGCUUUGAAAGGAUUUUCCAGUGCAAGAGGGAGUGUGGUGGGAUGUUAGAUUGCGGGAAGCAUAGGUGUGAGAGGGGGUGCCAUGGGGGCAAGUGUGGGGAAUGCCCACUCCGUGGUCGUCGCACUUGCCCAUGUGGGAAGAAGGAUUAUCCAAGGUUGGAGUGUGAUGCAGAGGCUGCCACAUGUGGAUCGACAUGUGAGAAGGUGCUUGGGUGUGGACGACACAGGUGCCCAGAGAGGUGCCAUCGUGGUUCAUGUGAUGAGACUUGCCGUCUUGUGAUCACAAAGGCCUGCCGUUGUGGGGGUCUGAAGAAGGAGGUACAGUCUUAUCUAGUAUACUUAUGAUGGAUCAAUCCAUGUAAGUGGAUAAAUUGAACAGAAGAAUUAUCUGGUUGUCUUUCAACUUAGAGACACUAUUAGCAAUUAGUUCUCAUAAUGUGUACAUCAAAAGAUAAUGCUUUAGAAUCUUGUAUAUAGCUUACAUACUUCUUUAAGAUCAAUGGCCUAUAUUUGAUGUCUGGAGGCCUCUUUGCUUUAGAUUAGUUUUUGUUGUUGUGCUUUUUUACCCUAAUAUGCAAAUAUGACCUGGCACAGCAACAAGUAGUGCUUCCUCAUUUUUUAUUCUCUGAGUGUUGGCGAGUAGGUUGUGCAAACAUCCUUAGUCUAACAUUGAAUGCUGUAGCUGCAUAUGUAUACUUCUAUGCUAUUAGGCCGUGUUUAGUUCGCGAAGGAAAAAAUUUCUUGACACUGUAGCACUUUCGUUUGUUUGUGGUAAUUAUUGUCCAAUUAUGGACUAACUAGACUUAAAAGAUCCGUCUAGUAAAUUUCGACCCAACUGUGCAAUUAGUUUUUAUUUUUGUCUAUAUUUAAUACUCCAUGCAUGCGUCUAAAGAUUCGAUGUGACGGGGAAUCUUGAAAAAUUUUGGGUUUUUGGGUGGAAGUAAACAAGGCCUAGUUAGCAGGAUGCAAGUUCUUAACCUUCAUGCUCAUGUGAUGCAUUGCGUGUCUGCAUCAGGUGCCGUGCUACCAAGAAUUGACGUGUGAAAGAAAAUGUCAACGUUCGAGAAACUGUGGUCGCCAUGCUUGUAAACGACGCUGCUGUGCUAGGGAUUGCCCACCCUGCUCCGAGGUGCAUUUUUUUUCUUUUUUUGGACAUGGUAUUGAAUUCUUUUCAAGAACUAAAAGAUAGAUAUAUCUUUUUGUAGACUUGUGAUAAGAAGCUCAGAUGCGGCAAUCAUAAAUGCCUCUCACCAUGCCACAGGUACUGUCUGAACUCCAAAUCAAACAUACACAUUGGAUUACCAUGUAUUGUUUACAUUUUGAAGCAUAUGCUCGUAGCACAUGCCAAUGUUUGGAUUGUCCCCUACUGUUGUGCAUAAUAGAUACAUGAGAUUGUUACAUUUGUCUUUGGAUUUUGCUUCUUAAUGCCCAAGUUUUAAAGGUUCUUCUUUAACAUAUCUCCUGUUGAUUGACAGAGGUGUUUGUUCACCUUGUCCUCUGAUGAAGACCAUUCCUUGCGCCUGUGGGAAAACAUGUUUUGAGGUGGAAUUCGGUAGACUCUCAGUUCUGUUUUUUGUUUCCUUGUAUAAGUUAUGUUUCCUGCUGUCUGCUUCAUUAGACUGGUUCUUUUCAGCUAAAAUUUAUUUCUUGGUCCAUCAUGCACACAAGAUGCUUGCUCAUCAUAAGAAGAAAAAAGAAUAAAAUUAUAAAAGGGUCUCCUGGCCCAGCUUCUGUAUAGUUUGUUGAAUAGUUGUAUCGUUGUUGCUAAGUUUUAAUUACCAAGAUUAAUAUGCAUAACUCUAUUGCAGGUUCCUUGUGGGACUGAGAAGAACCAGAAACCACCCAAAUGCUCAAAGAAAUGCAGUAUACCUCGCCUAUGCCGACACAAGCUUGAAUGCCGGGUAAUCUGCUGUGUCUUCUUUCCCUGUCGUUGGGUACAUCUCAAUAUUUUUCUAUGUAUAAUUGCAGUAUAUAUGCAUUUAACUUCAUGUUAUUUAUAUUUUUACUUUAAUCAUAUUUGAGUUGUUUGGCUCUGUUUGUAAGGAAGCUAUCCUGGUAAGUUCAAUUGCUUUUGCUGUUACAACUGGAUUCUCAGAAUUUAUGUAAUAUUUAAUUCCUUUUCUUAGCCCCACAAAUGCCACUAUGGAGCCUGCCCACCUUGCAAGCUGACCUGUGGGGAAGAACUUUCUUGUGGCCACACGUGUAAAGAAAGGUUUGUAUUGGUACUACAAGAAAUGUGUAAUUGAAUCUUGUUUUCACUUGGCUGUCUAUCAAGGAUUACCACCUCUGUUAUCUUAGCAAUCUUCAUACACUAUCCAGGUGUCAUGGCCCUAUUUCUCCUCCAAACCCCGAGUUCACACUGAAACCGACAAAAAAGAAAAUGGGAAAGCACAUAGAGUGUACACCCGGGACACCAUGCCCGCCAUGCAAAGAGGUGGUUUUGGUGCCAUGCUUUGGGCAGCAUCUUGGCCAAGAACGCGCUGUAAGUUUUUGGGAACAACACAAUCUUUUAGUCUAUUUGUUACCACGUGGCUUCUCUCUCCCAUGUGUGGCAUGUGCAAAAAUCAGACUACAGAAAACAUAUACUUCAUUUCCACUUCUUGCAGAUGCCUUGUUGCAAAUGGAGGCCUUUUCCCUGUGAAAAUUUAUGUGGGAAUCCUCUCCUCUGUGGCAACCAUUAUUGUACAAAAUCUUGCCAUGUGUUAGAAGUCCCAUUGAAUCAACCUGAAGGAGAUCGUAUAGCAUCUAUCAGUAAAGCAAACACACUUGCUGAGCCUUGUGAACAAUGCAAUCUUCCUUGUCAAAGGGUUAGAUACUCUCUUUUCCUUUCCUAGAACUUUAGUUUUAGUUUGUUUUACAAAGCUUAAUAUGAAGAAGCUACUGCAGUUUUGUAUAAUUUUAAGCUUGGUGCAGGAUAUUGACUAAUUUUUAUUUCAGGUUAGGGAGCCUCGUUGUUCACAUCCUUGCCCUUUGCCAUGCCAUCUGAGCGAUUGUCCAUCUUGUAAAGUCCUUGUUAAAAGACCAUGCCAUUGUGGUGCUAUGGUGCAUGCUUUUGAAUGUGUAUAUUUUAACAACUUAAAUGCAAAGGAACAGAUUAAAGUAAGGACGUGUGGCGGCCCAUGUCAUAGGUCAGUUUGGCUCCUAACUGUUUUGUAUUGAAAUUGGUGCAACUUUUGUUGUUACUACAUUCGAUCACAAUUUUCCAUAAAUUAAAUUGAUUUUAUCAAGCAUUUGAACAUGUUUUUUGAACAGAAAACUACCAAAUUGCCCCCAUCUGUGCUCAGAAGUAUGUCACCCUGGUAUAUGCCCAUCGGUUGAUCAGUGCAUGAAAAAGGUAUUGUCUGAGGCUUUCGUCCUCUCUGACAUACAUACUCAAGCAUUUAUACUGUAGAAUAAGUGAAUAACUAAUAAUAUUGAAGUGGUACACCAAUCCUUGAUCUGUGAUUUUACCAAGCUUUCUGCUGGAACUGUAGUAUAGUGAGAAGAUGUAUUUUGCUUAAUAGGAAGUUUGUUUACAAUUUGAAUUUGUGAUUUAAUUAUAUUCUGUUAAUAGUACUUAUUUAUACUAACUGUAUGAUUUAUCUAUCAAGGUCAACAUCCGCUGUGCAUGCAACACUCUGAAACAAGAGUGGCUAUGUCAAGAUGUCCUCAAGGAAUACCGUAAGUCUGGUCGCGAUCCAAAAGAAGUACCUAAAAGUCAAUUUGGAGUUGGCUUGCUUGCCUGCGGUGAAGACUGCAAGAAGAAGCUGAAGGCUCCAGAUUCAGAGUUGCAUCUCCGGAAAAGUCAGGAGAACAAGGUACUGAGUCUUACUAUUUUUUAAUAUUAAUACAAAAAUUAGUAUGCUCUUUUGUUCUUUGGAAAUGUUUUGGACAUCCCAGCUUUUUGUGCACCUGUGCUCAUUUCCUGUGCUUUCAAAUAAUCAGAGCCCUGCUGUGGAAGUCGUAAAUGUGCCCAAACGCAGGAAGCGGCGUGAGCGUGGACAGGAAGUUAAAAUCUCCAAAUUCCAGGUUUCUGAUGUAGGCACAUUGCUGCUUUAUUUGAAACUCGUGCUCCUUAUCCUUAUAACGUAUCAACAUUUUGCAGGAAGUCAAGACUUACGUGCUGAGAGUGCUACUGAUUAUUUUGCUGUCAAUAAUCGUUGCUGCUGGUCUGUACCUGUUGUGGAAAGGCAUAUUCUGGCUUUCUGACUGGAUGAACGAAAUGGAAGAGCAGAGGGCGAGACAAAGGCAUCCGAGGGGUGCAAUGUUGUAAAAAAAUGAGAGAAGAGUUAUUUUGAUCCUAGAGAAGAGUUAUUUUGAUCCUAAUAAUCGGUGUUGACAUGUGGAUUAAUUCAUAGUUAUUAGGGAUUCAAUUCUAGAGGUUCAUCUAGUGAAACAUGUCACCAUUUUCUUUCUCACUUUUUCUCACUAUACAUUAGCAAUUGUAUGCAUGAUGUAUUGUUGUAUUUUCAUUUUGCUAUUCUGCAUUAUUGUAAGUCAACAAACGAUACAGUUACUAUAUAAUUCAUCACUUAUAUCUGUUAAAAUUGUAGUUUUUAGUACAUCCACUCGGUGCAUCCGUUAAAACGAAUUACUAUUGAGCUAACGGACGAUGGCACUAUCUAUAAAGCCUGCUUUUGGCCAGUAUAUUUUUUUUUGUCUCAAUGGACAUUGCUCGUCCAUACCCACACAUGACAGGAUUAAUUAUGCCCAGGGGUCUAAGGCCCUGUUUGGUUUCCCUUGCUAAAUUUUAGCUAACUAAACUUUAGUCACUUUAAUAGUUAAAGUUUCAAACACAUUGACUAAAAAGAGCUAAAAUAUUUUAAUUCUAUUAGUCAUCCAAGAGUAGCUAAAAUAAUUUUAGCUAAUUAAAAUUUAACAAGGGGAACCAAACAGGCCCUAAAUUCUCACCCUUAUGCCCAUAUUGGUAGUGCAUACCUUGGAUUGCCCAUACCGAAGAGAAACUAUAUCAUUACCAUUAUCAACAAAGGAACAACACAUAUGUUGAGUACAAAACAAUGAUGACAAUAUAAGCUGAUGAUAUGAGCAAAUUAACAUAUAUCACAUAUGUCUUAGAGUAACAUGCAACAACAACACAAAAAAUGCAAUAUAUAGUCCAUCCAUAAUAAAACACUACCCAAUAACAUUUCAAGCCAAACAAACAUUUUAAGAUCACCGCACCACAUGUAGCAGCAGAAUUACUGUACAUCAUAGGCUAGACAAAAGCAACAACAUAAACACCAUGCUAGAUGUUUAGAAUUUCUUUACAUAGUUUGAACCGGAUAGAAAAUUCAUAUUGUUUUUUUUUUGAAAUCAAGGGUUUCUUGUUUGGGUGCAGUACAACCAUACCUGACGGGUAUAAAAUCCGCAUGUUUAGGUCUUGUUUAGUUUCAAAAUUUUUAGAAAAUAAGCAUCAUAGUAUUUUCUUUUGUAUGUAACAAAUAUUGUCCAAUCAUAAACUAACUAGGCUCAAAAGAUUCAUCUCGCAAAUUACAAAUAAACUGUGUAAUUAGUUUUCAUCUAUGUUUUAUAUAUGUGUAUAAAAAUUAGUUUUUGUUUUCAUCUAUAUUUUAUAUAUGUAUAUAAAAAUUCGAUAUGACAGAAAAUUUUGAAAAAAAUUGAGUUUUGGUGAGGAACUAAACAAGGCCUAGAAUUGGGACGAAUUUGAUUACAAUUUCGGAUACCGGUUGUCAUGUGUACCGGCCCAUCGUCCCAUCUCAUUCCGAUCUGACCGUCUCGCCCUCGCCCUCGCCCUCGCCCUCGCCCUCGCCCCCGCAGGCCCGCACCCAGCAGUAGCAGUCCAUUUCCACGGUUCUUCUUCGCGAACCGCCACCGCCACGCCACCUCACCCACCAGCUCGCCGGAGAUCACGAGAGGGGCCAGGACCCGCCCGCAAUCCUCGACGCCGCCCGCCCGCCCGCCAUGGGGGACGCCGCCUCCGGCCGCGGCCACGUCGUCUACCCUCCCCGCUCCGCCGAGGACAUCUUCAAGGACUACCGCGCCCGCCGCUCCGCCAUCCUCCGCGCCCUCACUCACGGUCAGUGACUUCGACUCUCCCCCUUCCGCUACCCUGAACCCUAAUAACCCACUUGAAAGCUCGAACCCCAACCUUACCCGAUUGCUCCCUCGUUUCGUUCGCAGAGGUCGAGGUCUUCUACGCGCAGUGCGAUCCAGGUGAGUUGCGCUUCGGCGUCGCCCCUCUCGAUCUCCCUUCCUUGUUCCGGGCGAACCGCGGUGCGAUUGAUUUGUGUUGAGGGGGCUUGAGCAGACAAGGAGAACCUGUGCCUGUACGGCUACGCGAACGAGGCGUGGGAGGUGGCGCUGCCGGCGGAGGAGGUGCCCACGGAGCUGCCGGAGCCUGCGCUCGGGAUCAACUUCGCGCGCGACGGGAUGAACCGCCGCGACUGGCUUGCGCUCGUCGCCGUCCACUCCGACUCCUGGCUCCUCUCCGUCGCCUUUUACUAUGCCGCUCGCCUCAAUCGUAAUGACCGGUACGCUGCCUCCGACCGCUCCCCCACUGCCUUACUUCUCUCAUCACGGUGUUUCUGUUAGGGUUCAAUGCUUCCUGUGUUGCGCUAGCUUGAUCCGUUGACGGAAAUUUCAGAAGCGCAUCGCAUCGUGUUCCUUUUCUUUUCUUACACACAAAAGUAUUAACUGAAUUAACUGAAUCCAUAAAUUCACGAUGGAUGGAAUGGAAAUUUGGAUUAUGUGGACAGUUUGUGGAUCUCAUAGAGCAAUAGUUUUGGUCGCAAGGAUUUGUGAUUCCUGGUUGCCAGUAAUUAUACUAGGAUGCAUAAUUUUGAUUGAUGUUUCCUAACUCAUGAGGAUUUCGACCUGUGCACUUAAGUGGAGAAGGUGAAGCUUAUUGACUCUCUCAGCAGUAGUUUGAUGCAAAGGGCACUGCUGUUUUUGUUUUCCAGUGAUAGUUUACACGUUCAAGUCUAGGGUAGUUGGGGAGCUUGCUUUCUAAAUAAAAACACAGCUACAGAGACUCGCACAGCCUCAUAAAGCAGACUUCGGACAAGUUUGGUUGUUUACCAUUAGUUGCUGAACGGUUAUGAGCUCAGGAAGUAAUGACAUCACGAGAAGGUAGGUAUUUUCACGGCUUUCUGUGUCUUUGAUGAUAGUGAGUUGACCGAGUUCUGAAUUCUGGUAGCCACAUGCUUGUGCUGGAAUCUUCUUACCUGUGUCAAUUAACAUCUUCACACAUUAGUCAUCUCAGUAUUUCUACGGUCUCUCUGUAAACAGUAGUCCCAAACUCCAUGUGUUGACUUCGGCUAGUUGAAGGCUAGCUUCAAUGUUUAUGUCAUGCCAACUUUCUAAAGGCACUUUCCACAGGGAAAAGUAAUAUUUGGUGGAAGCUGUGAAUCUGACAAAUUUUGCACUUGUUGUGCUUCUUAUUUAACUUCUGCGAUAUUUUGGCAUGACAAUAUUGGCAUAAACAUUAGUGUCCUGGCCGAGGUCGGGUUUACUUUGUAUCAAUACGCUAGUCUAUUGUAUGGUGUGACUGUGUGUGUUGUAUGGGUUCCAAACCCUUUUUCUUCUUAAUGUAAUAAUACACGCUGUCCUGCUUGUUCAAGAAAAAACAUUUAUGAGGUCUUUGGUUAAUUAUUGAUGUCCUGGUCUCCUGGAUGGUUGGAUACACCCAAACAAUUAAAGGUUACCCACCUACUAUAAGGAAAUUCUUUUAUUAGAGAGAGACAUUUCAUGAAUCAUGAGUGUUAUGGAUUUGGAGAAUCAAGAAUUUCUCUGCCAAUGGUGGCUACUGAAUUUGCAUUUAUGCUGAUAUUCUCUCUGUUAAUAAAAGAAUUUGACAUCUCUUUCCAAACCCAACCCAACUCUUCAAGCAAAUCCUGUUAAUCACUUCCAAAUUCUGAAUUAUGAGACACCUGCAGCCUUACAUCUUAUAAUUUCAUUGCAACUGUGCAUAUUAUUUUCUUAGAAAUUUGUGUUCAAAUUCAUAACAGCGAUUAACCCCUUGUCUCCUAGCACCUCCUGUGCAUAUUAUUUUCUUUCUUUAUUUUUUUGCAAAGAGAACCAACAUGUAGAGUGUGAUUUGUUGGUGUCAGAAAUAAUCUUGUAAUAAGAGAUGAAUAAACACAUCUACAAUCUACAUGCAUCUAUGGAGAUGAGGUGUUCUUGUCAAAGAGAAAAUUGAUUCGUUGCAUGAGCUAAUGGCUAGCUAACAUUUGGUUGCGAAGUUUGUUUUGAAGUUGAGCUGUAAAAGUAGUACAACUGAUGGUGAGGUGUGCUGUUUAGGUUGUCAAUGUAGCACUCUGGUUACCGUAGCAAACCAACUUACAGGACGAUAAAGGCUACAACACCCUUAUGACUGAGAGAAUAGAAAUUAAAGCCACAUGAGAGAUGGAUAAAAUGUAGAUGCUUGUGAUGUGAAGUCAUUAGAUACUAGAUGAGAGAUCAUGUAAGCUUGUGUAUGUGAUAUGAUCAAUUGUCAAGCUAGUAGUGUUUGGUUGUGAAGAUCAAGCUAGUAGUAGUGCUAUCAAGCUAGUAGUAGUGCUUGGUUGUGAAGAUCAAGCUAGCAGUAGUGAUUCGUUGUAAAAAGUGAGUUCUGUAAGCUUUGUAGGUUGAGCUAGUUACUUGUGUUGUUCUCUCAUAUUUGUGUGGAUCAAGAUAGAGAGCAAAGAGAGGAAUUGUGUGAUUCAUUUCCAACAAAGAGAAGAAAAGAGUGAUUCUGUUUAUAACAGUUGAAAGCUGUGUUUCAUCAGUGCAAGUUAAAAUAGAGUACGUUUAUUUAUUUAUCUGAAGAGCAAUGGAGUUUUGGAGAAAUUAUACCAUACCGAAAUAUAUGUAAUGCUCUGUUUAGAGUUACAGCACAGUUAUUUGUGCUCCCACAGUUUGAAAUUGGUAAGGAGUAUUUUGUUUCGUUAGGACAAGCCUUUGACCAAAAAAUUGUAUUAAUACACAGUUUUUUGUAAUACAAAAUUAAUGCCACUAGAUUAUGACUUUAAUCACAUAAAUGACAUCAAUAGAGUAAUUGUUGGUAAAAAUUUGUCAUAAUGGAACGAAAUAUGGCUACUAAUUUCAAAUGGAGAGAGUGUUUACCAAAAAAAGUAGAGCAUUCUUUGCUCAAGAGGUAUGUGGGUUAAUAACAUAAGGAGCACAUGUUUGAUAUUUACAGCCUGUUAUCUUAUUCAAUUUGUGUGUUCUUGAUUUUUAUAUGGAAUAUGGACAUAAAGUUCUCAAGUUGUGUUUUGCACUGCGCCUUUUUUUUUCUAUAGUAAUUUACAUCAGAUAUGAUAAGUGUGCUAAUGCACAUGCCUAUGGUAGUUUAGACUUUAGAGUCUAUAAUCUGCAGUUCCUUUUUUUAAUGAUAAUACUCAUAUAAAUACUGUAAUCUGUGUGAAUGCUGUACUAGCAACUUGGAGGAUAAACUUUUUCCCUCUUUUAAUGAGUGAGUUUUUUUUUGGGGUGGUGGUGGGGGGGGGGGGGGGGUGUUGGUUUCUUGUGGAUUCGUUAGUCAUUUUAAAUCAAUGUGAACCCAGACUAGCAUGAAACUUUUUGGUACUGUUGCACCAAGAGUAGCAUUCGUUUCUUUUUUUUCAGUUGUACAAUGCCUGUUUUUUCGAUGAUGAUGAUGUUGUCACACAGUCACAGUGAUCUGAGUACUGCGAACAUAGUCUUUGAUUAUAUACUUAUUUAUGCAAAUUUGAAAGGAUAGAUAUGUUGCGGUGCCAUUAGUUUGUUUAAAUUCCUGUUUACUUAAGUCUAUGUAGCUAAUAUCUUACUGCUUUCACUGUCAUCCAACAGGAAGCGCUUAUUUGGCAUGAUUAAUGAAUUGCAAACUGUUUUUGAAGUUGUCUCCGGUGCAAGACAACAGCAAUCUAAAGAGAGGUCCAGUAUGGACAAUGGUGGUAGAUCCAAGCCUGUAAAGGUAAAAGAUAUUUGUUAUUGAUGCUACCAUUGUUUCACUCUACAUCCAAUUUAUUUCUCACACCGCGACCAAAACAUGAUUGGCAGAUAGAAAAUAAUGGAAAAGCCACAGACGAAGCAUAUGGAGAAGAUGACAGUGAUCACGGUGAAACCCUAUGCGGAACCUGUGGUGGGAUAUACAGUGCGGAUGAGUUCUGGAUUGGGUGCGACAUGUGCGAGAGGUGGUACCAUGGCAAGUGUGUCAAGAUAACUCCCGCCAAGGCGGAUAGCAUAAAGCAUUACAAAUGCCCGAGCUGCAGCUCCAAGAGGGCGAGGCAGUAGCAAAACUCAUGAACGCAGGAAGCCUCUGAAUGCCGGAUGUAUGGUGCAGUGGCGCAUUGCAAAGUUUCCAGGCAGGAGAAGGCCAAGAGGCUCCAUUUACAAGAUUAGAACUAUAUUGCUAUCUUCCCUGUGCCUUAUUCUUACUUUACCUAUGAUAAGCUAAUGUGAGGUAAGAUAAGACAUUUGAUAACCAGAGGCACUUGAGUUGAGUACCCCUAUGAUAAGCUAAUGUGGGGUAAAAGAAGAGGAAAUCGUGCUUUAUUGAAUAUGGAGUUGUUUUUUCUUACAGUAACAUGUACCCCUUUUGAUAAUGCAUGGCUUUACAGAACAUCUCGAACUAUAUAGGAACAGAAGGUUAAGUUUUGUCAAAACUGUUUUGUCUAUCGGUCGGUCAGUGGCAUAUUGAUUGCUACGCAAAAUACAUAUGUACCAAAGGAGAAGCACAAGUAGAAUAAAUGGACCAUACAUGAAAAGGAA